AAAAAAGGUGAAAGUCCAAUUAAACCAGCCCAAUUGACUUUAUCGGGCCCAAAUUGCACCGAACCGUAAUCCUUCCACUGCAGAGAGCGGGAGGUAAUCGCUGCUCUGUGAGGCCAGCCUGACACGGUGCCCUCCACUCUAAAGGCCGCGAAUCUCAACCCUUCGAUUGAAACUCACGACCCAGCUCACCACUUGGAAUGGGCGGUCCAGAUUACGCAAUCAAAGGUCCAGCCAACCGGCCCGGUUCAACGUCCAAUCACCCUUAUUGCCUCCACUCGGAUUACAAGCCCACGUGACUAGGCUCGGCGAUAAAUAUAUGCGGGAAAAUAAUUAAUAUAUUGGUCAGAAGAUGUUUUCAUUUUCGAUGUGGGAUGAAAUCACCUUUUUCAUUUCAAAUUCCAAUGGAAUUAAUUUCAAAUUUCCAAUAUUUUUUUUUUUCUGAAAAAUAAAAUCUAUAUAUCAUCAAGAUUAUUAUGUAUUUUACAAUAUAAAAUAAAUAUUGAAUGUUCAGAUUCCACUACAAUUUUGGAACAAGAGCUUUUUCAUUCCAGUUUUCGAAAUUUUGAUUUUCUUUUAUUAUUUCGAAACGAAAAUUGCAAUUAAUUUUUCAUUUUUCAUAAAUAAUAUCCUUUGUUUUUUGGAAACUUAGGAGUGAUCCUGCAAUAAAUCUUUUAGUGCAUUAUUUUGACCCACCAUGCAUAAAAUUCUGGCUCCGCCAUCGGUCGUAGAGGAAAAGUAUAGGAUUGAUCGUGCAAGAACAUUGCAACAACUUAGCAAAUCCGUUCUUGAGAAUUCGGGGUCCUAGACGAGGUUUAAAGAACAACUGAAAACUUUGGCCCCGAUUUGGUAAACCAUUUUUUUAUUAAUGGGUGUUCGAAAUUGAAUGUACUAAAAAAAUAUAAAUAGUAUUUUCUAAAAAUGAUGACAUAAAAGAUUAUGGGGGUUCGGGGACAAUGCUCCUAUACUUAUGCUCUACGACCGUUGGCCGUGAUUGACAUAUACCAUUAUUUAUGGAUCAAAUUAAAUUUUAAUUCUUAUUUUUGUUGUACUUACUCAUCUUGACGUAGAAGGCACACGAGUUUCAAGUGGCCCCACGUAUUGUGUAAAAAACAUUGGAUAGAUGAUUCGAACUUGUAUCAUUUGAUUCAACACUCUCUUACUCACCGACUAAGACUACCCUCACGAACCAAACAACCGAAUCAUAAUUUAAAAAUGUGUCACAAAAAAAAAAAAAAAAAAAAAAAAAAAAAAAAAAAAAAAACAACUCACCUCAUAAUUUAAAAAUGUGUUAAAAAAACAAAAAAAAAAGGUGAAAGUUCAAUUUGGACAAGCCCAAGUGACUUUUAUCGGACUCGAAUUGCACCGAACCGCAAUCCUUCCACUGCCGAGAGUGGGAGGUUAUCGCUGCUCUGUGAAGCCAGCCUGACGCGGUGCCCUCCACUCUAAAGGCAACGAAACCCGACCCUUCGAUCGAGCCUCGAGACCCAACUCCCAGCUUGGAAUGGACGGUCCAGAUUAAGCAAUUAAAGGUCCAGCCACUUAGGCUAAUCAAAUGUCCAAUCACCUUAAUACCUCCACUUGGAUUAUAAGCCCACGUUACUAGGCUCGGUGUCUUAAUCAUGCAAUUAGUGGAUUAAUAAACUCAUCCCAAGAUGUAUCUUCUAACGAUGUGGGAUAAUUUGCUAAAUCUACUAGCUCUUAUCAAACCAUAUUUUAGAAAUGCACAACCAAUGUUUUGUCAAGAAAGAAGUGCAUUAUUCCUUCUUUUUGAAAUUAUUUUACUGUUUUACACUUAUUUUUUGUACAAGUCAUAUUUCAGAAAUUGAAAGUUGAGAGAAUUUCGAAUUUUAUAGGAAUGUUUUGAAAUAGUGAACAAAAUCUCAAUGUGAUCAGUAAAUGUCCCGCUGCAAUUAGCAUUUCAAAUUUAUGAAUCAAUAUAGUCGCUUAAACAAUCGAUGUAGCACGGAAACUUCAAUUUUUUAACGUUUCCACUUCUCGGACAUGUUUCGUGUCCCAGAGGACACCUGCCGGACACUUCAUGGGUCAUUUUAUAAUUUCUAAAAAGUUUGAGACAUGUGUGAAUAUCAAAUUUUUUAAAUAUAUUUGUUGUUUCCUUAAUUAUUUGCAUGAUUUAAUGAUCAAUUACAAAUUGAUAAUAAAAUAUAUUUUAAAUAUGUUUGUAUGACAAAAAAAAGUUAUAUAUGAAUAAAAACUUAUAUAUGUUUAUAUAUAUCAUAUUUAUAAAUAUACUUCUAUAUUUUCAAUAUUUACAUAUUUCCCCCAAACUCUCCGUAUCUCCGUUUCUAGGGCAUGCCGUUUUCAUAGCUUUUAUACAUAUGUAUUUUUUCCUACCAUGGAAUUCUAAAUACUUAUUUAACACUUCAUUUUUAUAUAACAAAUUUGAUUUACUUCCUAUCAUAUUCAAGGUUGCAAAUGAGGGAUACUUUGAAAAGGAACAAUAGAAUUCCGAUUUCUUUGCAAAAUAUCGCUUAUGUGUGGGCAAUUGCAGUCGAAGUUUACGGAAGAAGACGAAAGAAAGUACAAAUAUCGCUUAUGUGUGGGCAAUUGCAGUCGAAGUUUACGGAAGAAGACGAAAAAAAGUACAAAUAUCGCUUAUGUGUGGGCAAACAGAGGCUAUUUUACUAAGAUUACUAGAAGCUAUUUUACCAUUGACUGAAAUCAACAGUGUAAUACAGUUAAUUUUACUGUCCAAAAAAAAUGUAAAUACAAAGAUAAUACUUCUGAUAAAAAGCUAUUCAUAGAAAUUUGCUUCUUCCGUAAAAAAAAACAUAUGUUUAAUUUCUGGGUCUUGUCUCAGUUAGACGGUCUUUGACAAGCAGAAAAUAGCUGCCAGCUGACGAAAGCCAUCGCCAACGAAGUGAAAAGCUCGAAUCCUACUACUUUUGGGAAUUGCCAUUCCAAUCCCCGUCUCAUAUAGCUGCAAGAAUCUCCAAACAACACACAAACGGCAUAAAUAAGUGCGUGCAUUAUAUUAACAGAUAAAUCGUCGUAAUACAUUGAUAAACGAUAAUGUAAGAUGGAAGUGUAGGCAGAGAGAAAUCACACCUUGUGAUAGAUGGCAUUGUUGCCAAAAUCCCUGCACAAGCGUAUAUAAUCGGAAUCAAGGUUUUGGGCUUGUUUUUCCUAAGCCACAUCAAAGAGCUCAACGAAGCAAGUGAUAUACUCAACACCUGAAACGGUUGACGAGACAUAAUUAUACAUACACCUUCCGAAAAUAAGUAAACAAUAGAGUAGAAUUCAAGAGUUUUUAACUGGAUUAAAAAAACGAACAAAACUAGUAAUAUAACCAAUACGAUAGAAGAAAUUCCGUACCAAAUUGGCAUUUGCUUCGAGACCCUGCAAGAUGUAGUCCCAUGUGAAUUCUAAACCUCUAGCACCUACCCAAAGGGGUGCCAGCCUAUGCAGGACAGCAUCGGCAAAAGCCCAACCUGCCAAAAUUGAGAAUCGGAACUUAAAUAUUCCGAAAGGAAGCAAAUGCAUAUAUAGAUAGCCAUUGGAAGUAGGUUAAAAUAAAACGAGCAUUAUAUAAGUGUCAUUCUGAUUUUAUCCCCUCAUUUUAAUUUUUUUCAAGCUGCUGUCAAGUGCCUAAUAAAAAACGAACAUUGAGAAUCAUCAAUAGAUAUUAGCUUGCAUAUUGAAGCGAUAAAUGGUCUUAUUUAUAGAUUGAUUGACACGUUAAAAAUACUUGGUGGACUCUGUAAUCGUUACGUCGCGGGUUAAUAUUUUUAUACCAUAAUUACGAUAUGGAAACAUCAGAUAGUAACUAAAGAAAGAAAAUAGCACAAGCAAGAGAAAAUAAUUAUUCCAAUUAUGAACCACUCUUUUCUCCAGCAUUAGUAAUAACUAAAAUGUAACAUUAUUUGUCCAUGUUAAAACGUAAGUUGUCGCACUAAAUCAACAAAAUCUCGAGCAGUGAACUCAGAAGAAAAGAUACAAAAAGAAUAGAGGAAUUACACUCACCGAGCCCAACCGCUUGGAAUUUGUGAUUUUGAGAGAUAUUCCUGUGAGUCAAUUGUGUCAAGGCGAAAUAAAUCCCGGCAACAUCUACGAACCCAAUCAACGCUUUCAACAAUUCCUGAUAUAAAAAGAGAAUGGAACAACAGCAAUUCAAAAUUAUUCAUGAUCCAAUAAAAUAUAUCUGAUGAAUAAAUAAAUAUGCCAAAAUUAGAAAAACAAUCAUAAGUCCAACAAGUCAAAAUGCGUAAACUAGAGAGAUUACCUGAUAUGGAUCGAAAGUGUCGCUUUCAGAUACCUUAAGAAACGUUGCAAGACAAACAAGCUGCGGAAACAAAAUGCGUCUGGGUAUUAUGAUUUCAUAGCAAUGAAGAAAACAAACCAUUCAAUCAACCACCAACCUUCACCAACGCCGUUACGAGAUAAACGACACCUGUUCUAAUCGAAGUGCCGAUUGUAUCAUAUUCAGAUCUGUUGGAAUAAAACUAGUCAACACUCAAUAGUCAAUACAGAUGCAAUUUCACAUUUACAAUUCAUAUUUACUAUCUACCAAACCAACAAAAAAAAAAAAAAAAAAACUAUUGUUUAUUUAAUUGAAAACUGAAAUACACAAAUUGCUGCAAUUGAAAGCGCAACCUAAAAAACAACGAAUUUACCUAGAUUGAUGAGAAAUUAGGUAAUCCAACAUUCAUCUCAGAUAAAUUCAAUGGGUUUAAUUUUCCGCAAAUACAUACAUACGUCUAUCAUUGCCCAAAAUUGACAGAAAAAAAAUGAAAAGUUGAAAUUCAGCUUCAACAGCAGUAACAAUGGCGGCCUUGUCAUUCACUAGGAGAUCUGAUGAAAUUAUUAAAUAUCACGUUGUAGAGAUUUGGGGGGGGAAAAUUAUAGUAAAAAACUUACAACGGCGUAGCUGAGUAGUAGACGGCGUGAGGGCCAAAAGUCAGAAUCGCGCAGUUGAAAAAGUGAAAUAAUGUCAUAUUUACUCAAUGUGUUUCUGUGUGAAAGAGAGAGAAGUGUGUGUGUGAGAGAGAGGGAGAGAGAGAGAAAGAAGAGAGAAUUUUGGCAAUGGAGAAGUUGCAGAGCUCAGAGGUGAGAGUCGACGGUAACUGGAUUUAGGCUGUAAAUAUUGAUUGGGCUUUAAUUAUUAUUAAAUAAAUAAUUAAUCUUUUUUUCUUUUUUAGGAAUAUAGCUUUUGUUAUUGAGCAAAUUACGGCCACCAUGAGACUAAAAAAAAAAAAAAUUUCUUUCAUUUAGGUAAUUACAGUUACCCCCUCCUUUUAAAUAUUUUUAUAUAAAAUUUAUGUAAUUCGGUUAUUUACCAAACCAAAUCAUAUAUUCUGUUCGGUAAACGAUAUGAAAUGUUGGCGUACCGAAAUUUCGGUUCGAUUUUACGGAUUUAACAUCCCUUACAUCUGUAUGGAUUUUUUCGUAAGAUAAUACAUAGUUGAGGGGGUGACUGUAAUUAUCCAAACAAAAGGGGGAUUUCAUAAUUUGACCAUAAAGGUAGGUGGCCGUAAUUUGCCCUUUAUUAUUUAUUGAACAAAGAGAUGAGUCGAGACCGGAUGAUGUUCGAAUAGUCAAACUUUAUUGAAUCAUUGAGUAGUUUGAUGUGUAUAAAUAAAGAUCCGACAUCUGGUGAAAUACAUGAUGUGGCUUUGCACUAUAGAUCUACAUAAAAAAUUAACUACUAAGAACAAUAUACAAGUCUAUUCUAUGCUAUACCGGGUGAAAUACACCAGAUAGGUAUUUACCAUUCAGAUAAACAAUAUACACAUCCAUAUUGGUGUGUGUAGAUCAACGGUAAAAAAUCACCCAGUGUAAUCUACACCAGGUCUAUCAUAGAAAUAAGUCAAUAACCACGUACACAUUAGUGUGCGCGUUAUUAUAUGUAAAUCAAUAAUCUGUAGCUAUAUUAUAUAUUUCACCAGGUAUAUAAGUUCUACAAAAUCAGUAAUUCAACGCUCCAUGCAUCGAAGCAUUUUCUUCGGUGUCAUCGUUGUUGUCAAAACAAUUUUUUCCUCCUUUUAUCUAUUGAUGGUUACAAGUUAUAACAAUUCUUUGAAUUGAAUUAUAAUAUGUCACGAUCCAUGAUAAAUACAUGCCCCAACUUUACUUAUUUAGAAAUAUCAUAUUUAUUUUAUAUUUAAAAUAUCAAAAAAGAAAAGAAAAGUCAAUCAACACAAUAUUACACAACAAACAAAAUGAUACUUAAGCAAAUUGAAAACCAUUGCUCCUAAUAAAAAUAGAUCAAGCAUAAAGGUGAGGAGACAAUCUUGGUGUAAGAGCAACUUGAAGUGGAGUGACUUUCACAUUAGUAGCACCAAAACUCCCAGUCAUAUCAACAGCCUCACCAAACGGCACCGUUUCAAUAUCGAAACCAUGCAAUAAACUAGCAAGUGCGUAUUCCGACAUUUGUAGAGCUAACGCAAUUCCAGGGCAUACCCUUCUCCCUCCGCCAAACGGGAGCAGCUCAAAGUGGUUGCCUCGAACAUCGACCUCUUUAUGGCUCGUAAGAAACCUCUCGGGCUUGAACUCAAGCGGUUCGGGCCAAACACGCGGGUCCCGGUGGAGCUUCCAUAUAUUCACGAUGAGUCGUGUGCCAGCUAUCACGUGGUACCCGGCCACCGUGCAGUCCUCGACCGACUCGCGUGGGGCCGGGAGUGCCGUGGGUGGGCAGAGUCGGAGUGUUUCUUUGAUUAUGGAUUUGAUGUAUACUAGGUUUUCGGUGUCGGAUACCCUCACUUGCCUUUCUCGUCCGACGUGGAGGUCUAGUUCUUGGCGGGCCCUUGUGAUGACGUGGCGAUUGUUGAGGAGCAACGAUAGAGCCCAUGUGAGGGUGGCGGUCGUCGUAUCGGUUGAUCCUAAAACCAUUGUCUGCAAACGAGGAUGUAAUAUAGACAUACAUAAUGUGAUUAAAGAAUAUUUAUUAUCUUUCUCAUGUUUCAAACAACAUCAUCUACAAUUAUUAAAAAAUACACCCCCAAUGCUAUCAAUUAUAUCUAAUUGUUCAGAAAAAUCUCAUUUUCAACAGGUCUCAGUAAUUGCAUCUCAUCCAUUAAUUUAGUACUUUUAUCCAAGAAAUAUCAUUAAGAAAAAAAAAAAAGCCAAUGAAAAAGUUGCAAACAAAACCAUAUAUAUUACCUGGCAAAUCGCUUUAUUUAUCGUAUCAGCAUCAUAGGCAGGAAAUUCGAGCGCAAGCCGAUCAGAAGCAACCAUCAUCUCAGACAUAAACCCUUUAUUCUCUUCAAAAUCAUCAUCACAACUAUUGCCCUUGUUUUUCUUACAUCGGUCUAGCCACACUUGUAACAUACAAUCCAUCUCGUUCGCAGUUUUCUUAAACGCCCUGUAAUAAUCCGUCCCACCAAAGAAACCAUCAAACCGCUUGAGAAACGGAAGCACGUCAGGUACCGUAACAACCCCCAUCAUCCGAAAAAACUCGUUGAUCGCCCCCCGCCACCUGUCACUACUCCCCACCCCCAAUCCAUCCAUCUUAUUCUUCUCCACAUCGCCCGCUACUAUCCUCACAAUCAAACCGAGCGUCAUUUCCCCAAAGAAUUUCUUCAUAUCCAACGGCACCUUUUCUCCAUAAAGGUACAACGACCUCAUCAUGGCAGUAACCUCCGUUUCGUACAAAUUUCCGAGCUUUGCGACUUUUCUGUUCGAAAGAAGAGUAUGCAUGGAAAUCUUGCGAAGCUCCCGCCAGUAGGGCCCGUAGUCGCUGAAUCCAAACAUGGCGAAAUUGUAGCACAUGUGCUGAAUUGCAGCGGUUUGCGGGCGGUUGCAGAAGAUUAGGUCGUUUGUGGUGAAGCAUUCUUUUGCUAUUUCCCAGCUGCUCACUAUCAGGGCUCCGUGUACGCCUAACCGGAUAGUGAAAAUCGGGCCGUAUUUGUCUGCGAGAUUUGAUAGUACGAUGUGAGGGAGCUCGGGCCCUGAAAGCAAGGACAGGUGUCCGAUUAUAGGCCAACCACCUUCAGCUUCUGGGGGUAGUUUUUUCUUGAUUCUUCUUCCUCGUAUGGUUAUUACAAGGAAACAUAAACUAACGGUUAAAAUUAUCGAUAUAGUAACCAACGCAGGAAGCGAAAUAGUCGGUCCCAUUUCCAUGGCUUGAUAUAUAAACUAGUGCUUAUUAUAGAAUGAACUAGUGAUUGCCUCGAAAAGUUUGAUUAUUGUCCGGAAAACGAAACGAGUGAGUGAAACAAUUGGCCAAGAUCAAUGAUAUAUAAGGUUGAAGUAGAAAGUAACUGAAAAUGGACCAAGGUGUCUGAACAACUAAUAAUGCAAAUGCGGACAAAAAAGCAAUGGCGAUUUUUUCAACGGGACCCCACGUAUUGAUGUAACAACAAGACAUGGAAAUGAAGAAAAAUCAAAUAAGAAAGGUGAGGAGACAAUCGUGGGGGUAAGAACAACUUCAAGUGGAGUGGCUUUCAUAUUAGUCGCACUCAAACUCCCGGUCAUAUCAACGGCCUCACCAAACGGCACCGUUUCAAUAUCGAAACCAUUCAACAAACUAGCAAGGGAAUAUUCCGUCACCUGAAGCGCGGAAGAAAUCCCGGGGCAUACCCUCCGAUCCUGCCGCCGCCAAACGGAAGCAAUUCAAAGUGGUGUCCUCAAAUAUCGACCUCUUUAUAACGGCUCGUAAGAAACCUCUCCGGCUUGAAUUCCAGUGGAACCGAUGGAGCUUCCACACGUUGACGAUGAGCCGUGUGCCAGCUGGCACGUGGUAACCGACUCGCGUGGUGCGUAGAGUCGGAGGGUUUCUUUGAUUAUGGCUUUGAUGUAGACUAGGUUUUCGGUGUCGGUUACUUUCACUUGUCUUCCUCGGUCUAGUUCUUGGCGGGCCCUCGUCAUGACGUAAAGAUAGAUCCCACGUGAGGGUGACGGUCGUUGUAUUUGUUGCUCCUAAAACCAUUGUCUGCACAAGAUUAUAUUAUAUAUACAUACACAAUCUUUGUUAAAGAAGGUUUAAUGUAUUGUUACAUUUUUUCAAAUUUUAAUGAGAUAUUUGUAACUUGAUAUAUUAUUCAAAAAGAUUAUUGCAAUGAACUCACUGAUUAGUUUAAUAAAAUACUACAUUCAAACUAAAUAUCCAAAAUGGACCACACCACUAUUAAUUUCAACCAAACAACAUAUUCUAAUUAAUAUAAUUCAAAGCAGACAAAAAAAAUAUCAUUUUCAAUAGAUCUCAAUAAUUGCAUAUAUUCCAUUAAAUUAUUACUUCUCUCACAAAUUUUCAUCAAUUUAACAAAAUCCAAAAGAUAUACUAAACCAAACAUAUUCUAAGAAAAUUAUCUCAACAUCAUGGUAUCAGGAAAUCCAAACAAAAAUGAAACCAUAUAAACCUACAUUUAAAAAAAAAAAAACCAAAAUACCUGGCAAGUUGCUUUGUUAAUCGUAUCAGCAUCGUACGCAGGGAAAUCGUUAGCAAUCGUAUCGGCGUAAACCAGCAUCUCCCUCAUAAGUCCUUUAUUCUCUUCACAACUAAUACUUCCCUCGUGUUUCUUAUGGUGGUCUAGCCACUCUUGUAGUAUACCAUCCAUAUCUUUCGCCGUCUUUUAAACGCCCUGUAAUAAUUAGUUGCGCCAAAGUAACCGUCAAACCGUUUAAGAAACGGAAGCACAUCGGGUACUGUAACAACCCCCAUCAUUCUGAAAAACUCGUUUAUCGCCCCCCGCCACCUGUCACUACUCCCCGCCGCUCCGUCCAUCUUCUUCAUCUCCACAUCACCGGCAACUAUUCUCACAAUCAAACCGAGCGUCAGAUCCCCGAAAAAAUUCUUCAUAUCCAACGGCAACUUUUCUCCGUAAAGGUACAACGAUCAUCAUUGCACUCACCUCCGUUUCGUAUAGAUUUCCGAGCUUUGCAACUCGGUUGUUCGACAGAAGUGUAAGCAUGGAGAUUUUGCGAAGCUCGCGCCAGUAGGGCCCGUACGGGCUGAAACCGAACAUGGCGAAAUUGUAGCCCAUGUGCUGAAUUGCAGCGGUUUCUGGGCGGUUGCAAAAGAUUAGGUCGUUUGUGGUGAAGCAUUCUUUUGCUAUUUCGCAACUGCUCACUAUCAGUGCUCCGUGUACACCUAUUUGUCUGCGAGGUUUGAUAGUACGAUGUGAGGAAGCUCGGGCCCUGAAAGUAAAGACAGGUGUCCGAUUAUCGGCCAACCCCCUUCAGCUUCUGGGGUUAAGUUUUUCUUGAUUCUUGUUCCUCGUUUGGUUACUACUACAAGGUAAUAAAAACUGACGGUUAAAAGCGUUGGUAAAGUAACUAAUACAAGAAGCCAAAUAAUCGUGUCCAUUUCUGAUGAACUAAAUACGGUUGUAUCGAAUAUUGCUUAUUAUGGAAUGAACUAGUGACUAUCUCAAGCAACUUGAUUGUCAGAAAACGAAAUCAAUGAGUGAAACAACUAGCCAAGAUCAAUGCUAAUAAAUGAGUAGAUACGAAAACAAAAUUGUGGACACGGACAAGAGUUAAAAAUGGACCAACUUGUAUGAACAAUUAAUAACGCAAAUGUGGACAAAUUUAAACAAAUAUUUCUUUGAACGGGGACCCCACGUUGAUUUGCAACUUGUAUGACAAGACAAGGUGGGAAAGAAAAUGCAUGUAUAUGAUAACGAAGAUACGUUUAAUAAGAAAGAUACUUAACAAGCCUGAUCUCAAUCACCAACCUUCACUAUCGAAUCUGUGGAAAUAGAAAAGCUAAGGAUUUAAUAUCAACCAAAUAAUACCAAGGGGAGAACAUUCAAUAAAACUGUUUCUAGAAAUAUAUCUGGAAAAAAAUCACUUUCCUGACGUCAUUUUUAACCAACAAAAUGAAAUUUCCGACACACAGGAGCAAGGCUCGAGACAACGGUUGCAUACGCUGCCACGGAAACCUCUGUUAUAGUUCCAUUGCAAUGCCACUGCUGGAACAUAUAAUUUUGUAUACGUUUGCUAUCAUAUUUUCUUACAAAGAUAUUACUUUUCGUAAGUUUACAAUCACAUUUAUCUAGUUUAUUGUCAGAUUGUGUAUAUGCGCUCGCCUGUAAGAUACUACUAAAACUGAAAAUUAUAAUAAUUAUUAUUAUUAAACUAUAAAAAUACGAAAAAACACCAUAAAUAGUAAAAUAGUCAAAUUGCAAUCCUUCUAUAACUUGAAAAUUCUUAAAACAUUCCAAUUUACAGAAUUCAAAUAUCUUUAAAAAAUCACCAGAAAUAUAUAUUAAAAAUAAACACACGUUUUUUCCGUACCUCAACGACAUGCGCCACAUCAGCUAUAUCACUACCACGUCCAGACACAUCGGUUGCAACCAACACAUUAUACUUCCUAGCCUUAAAACCUUCGUGGCUCCCCUCUCGAGAUUCUUGUGACUUCCCACCAUGAAAUAUCGUCACUCGAUAAUCCUCUCUCCGCAAAACCUUAAAAAAAACUAUCAACAACAUAUUUUGUGUUGACAAAGACAAUAGCUGUCUUAUCAUUGCCAAGAUCAUCCAACAAUUUCUUCAAUCUAUACAUCUUAUCAUUCUCCCUAACCAUAGUAACACGUUGGGUAAUGAGUUCAGUUUGCCUUCCUGCAGUGCCGAUGUUUACGACAGCUGGACUUUUCAAGUACUUUUUCGCCAGCCGCUCAACAGAAGGCGGCAUCGUAGCACUGAACAUACAAGUGGUUCUGUAUAGCCCUUUUUUAAUUAAGCUCUUCAUCUUCAUCCUCUGAUUUCAUGUUGCUCGACGGAAUCGCGUCUUGUACACCAACAACUUGUUGUUCGAAACCCAAAUCAAUCAUGCGAUCAGCUUCAUCAAGAACGACACAACUACACUGAUUGAGAACUAAAUAGCGCCUCUCCAGCCUUUGUAAGAAAUGCUGAAAUACGCCCUGAAAAUUCUCCGGUCUCUCUCGGUCAUUUCGUCGAACACCUUGCGGGACCAGUGGCGAUCGACCCUCAUCUCAAAGGUAUCAUAAGAAUCAUAAGCAUGUUCCUCCUUCUUCUUCUUCUUCUUCUUCUCGAUUCCAUCCUUGUCAUUCUUCUGUUCACUCCGUGUGGGUUUCGGUAGAGGGAGUUGAUGGUCUUCGUGAGCUUUUGAGGCUCCUCUUUGGUGAGAAACGCCGGGAUUCUUCACUCCGUUCAUCACUUCGCCGGAGGACCGACUAGUCGGAAUUGUUGGGAAUUAGGGUUUGAAGCCCUGGCAAAACCAUAUAUUGUAUGUGGACUUGGUUCAGACUUCAGAGGCAAGGCAACGGCUCCAUUUUUUUUUUUCAAAUGCAUAUAUAAUAAUGAUAAAAACAAAAUAUUAUUUUAAUAAAGCAAGAAUUAUGCAUAAUAAAUAUUUUAAUUUCAAAAAACAAAAUUUACAGCAAUUGUUGAAUCUAUUUACUAAAAAAAAGAUAUUUUAAUAUUUUUGAGAAACUUAAUAAGUCAUUCAAGCUUCCCACAUUUCAAAACUAAACAACAUUACUUAAAGUUUCAAAUUGCAAAAAUUAGAUUUAAACUUUAGCCAAUCACAAUCGUCGUCUUUAUAUCGUUUUUUUCUUUCUUUCUUUCUUAGAUGUGAAUUUCCGUCCCGUAGUUUUCCAGCCGAUAAUGGUGCUUCUUAGAGCUGUAAUGUUCUUUCCGGCGUUUAAUUUAAUGGUAUAAUUGUCUGGGUUCCUGUAGUCGAGCUAUUUCUUUUGAUAGUGAUUUUGUAUGAUUUGGAGCUAUGGAUCUGAUUAUUUGGUCGUUUUACCGGGCAUGCAUGUGUAUUUCGAGGAUGGUGGUUCUUUUUGAAAGGUAACUUAUUUUCCGGCAGUCGGAAUUUGAGGGGUUAAAUACACAUCGUUGGAUUCCUCUUGUCGAAAUCUAUAUAUUUUUAUGUUAAUUAUGUCCAAUUUGAUAGUCAAAUUUGUUUCUAUGAUUUUUUUUAUUGCGCACGUUGAACCUUGUGUUUUUUGUUGUUGUGAUUCGUCACGUUCGCAACUAUGGCCUUUCUCUUCAUCUCUUGUCUCAAUUUUCAUUGAUUUUUGAGUUUUUUGAAGCUUCGUCAAUUUAUACACGAGCAUGUAUAAAUUUUUCAAGAACGUCAUAUUCUCCGAAUCGCAGGUUGCCUCCAUAUAUAACCAUGGUUAAGCUCUGCAAAUAAUUUCAUGAUUUUUUGCUGUUAAGAUCAUAAACAAAAUUGAAAAGAAUUCCCAAAAACACAGAUUUUCCUCACUAGCUUAAUUAGCAUAAUUAGACAUAAUCAUUAAUAAAUUAGUCUGUCAUUAAAAAAAAAAGGAUUAAUUAACAUCUAAGAAGGGAGGAAUUAGAGGGUUCAAUUUGCCAGCUUGGCCUUCCUAGGCUAAAUUCUAGAUCAAGCAACACAUCAGAAGAACCAGAAGACAAUCUACUCAAACUACUAUCUAACUUCUCCUUGUCUGAAAAUCGCAUUUUCUCGUCCGCCACCUCAGCUUCAUUUACCUACACGAAUCGCACCGAUCGAUUUUUUUUUGUUAAUUAUAUUAUACUAAUUAUUUAAUAAUCGAUAUAAUCGUUUGGUAAUUAAAACGUGCAUAUAUAUGUAUUAUACCGUGAUUAAAUCGAACCCUGCUCGGGAAUUAGUCGAAGUGGAAUUAUCUUGCUGGCAUGAAGGACUUGGUACAAGGUUGUCUGGAUAUGAUGAUGAUGAUGAUUUCCAUUGAGCCCUGCUUGUUCAUAAGAUUCAAAAUUUAAAAAUAAUAAUAAUAAUUCACAAGCAAUUAUUAUACAAGCUAAUAAAAUGCAAAAUUGUAAGAUUGUGAGUGACAAUCUAUAUAGUUUUAUUUUCUUUCUUGUUUACAAGAUUAUUAUAUUUAUUAUAUUAUAUCUUUUCAUAUAUCUAUUUGUAUAUUUUUAUUUAAUUUUUACAUUACAUCUGACUUUUUACUCUUGUUUAGAUUCUAGCAAUUCAGCCGUCCAGGAAUGAAGUCAACAAGUCCAGCAAAGCAUUUUUUCAAACAAUAUUUAUUAUGGGACAAUUAUUUUUGCCACCCUCGAGGUAACGUCAAAUUAAAAAAAAGACCCUCUUGUUUGGGUAAUUACAACUAUCCCUCACAACUAUGUAUUUUUUUACAAGAAACCCCUUGUUCACUGGUAAGUUUGACACCGUAAUAAUAGAUGUUUAAGACAAUACAUAGUUUACGGGUGAUUGUAAUUUCUCAAACAUAAGAGAUUCUUUUCGUAAUUUAAUCUUACGAACGAGGUAGUAGACGUAAUUUAUUCUUUAUUAUGUGACCCCUAAAAUUGCACCAAAUGUCACCCUAAGCUGGCAUUAUUACAACAUUAUAUUGAGAUUUGAACCUUCUCUUUGACUUUCUUCUUUCUUUUUUCUUGAGAUUCGUACUAUGAAACAUCUAAUUGAUGUGAGGUGUAAUUUUAUUUUAUUUUUGUUUCAAGAUUUUAUAGGUAAAAUACAAAUGACAUUAAACAAACAAACAAACAAAACCCUAUAUAUAUGGUAUCAAUGUUUUCAAAUUCCAUUAUUAUCCUCACACCAUUUAUUAAGUACACAAACACUUAUGCAAAGAAACUACAUUCUCUGAUCAAUUUAUAUAAUUAACCCAACUAAUUAUCUAUAUAACCUCAAUCAAUAAGAUAUAUAAACUACUAAAUUAAUAGUAUUAAUCAAAGUUUGAACUUAGAAGCAAUUAUGUUAUAAUGGCCUUACAACACCGAUAACGGUACUGAUACUGGUACCACUCAGCCGUAACAGUAUAAUAGUUAUACUAUUUGUCUUCUCGAUUAUCAUAGAAAUUUGUAAGAUUCGACAAAAUCUAGAAUCAAUGGAGUUUAUAUAUAAUCAUCAUGCCACUUUAUUUAUUUAAAAAAAUUAAAAAAUUAAAAAAAAAUCAUGAUGAUUGAUGGCAGUAUAUAAGAAGAUAUAGGCCACAAUAUAUGGUACCAUACAGAGAAAGAAAGAGAGGUCCCAGGCCAAUAUAUAGUGUAGGUGGAUAUAUUCUUUGGGAAAUGAUGGAAGAAUAUAUAUAUAUAGUGCAGUACUUAUAUACAAGAAUAUAUAGUGCACCUAUUAGGACAUAUAAAAACAGACAAAAAUUCCCGAAAAAUAAAAGACAAAAACAAAUAGAGAGAGAGAGAGAGAGAGAGAGAGAGUAUUAUUACACUCACCUUUGAUUAUUAUCAGCCUUUUCAUCAUCUUCUAUUUCUGGAGUAAUAUGCAGUUUCAGCCCAACAUCUAUCUCCCCUUGACCUGCAAUAUUAUUAUUAUUAUUAUUAUAAAUUGAUAUAAAAGUUAUUCCAUUCUAAGGAGUUCGACUGGACGAUAAUUUUUUGAUUAGCAGUUAAAUUUUUUGAGAAGAUAUGACUAAAAUAAUGAUAAAGUUAAGAUGAACCAAAAGCUUAUGGAGUUCAUAUUAACGAGUACGACUGGACAAGAAUUUGUUUCAAUAUAAUUAAAUAAAAUAUAGUAAAUUUCAACUAGGUGAAACUCUCUUUCAAGUUAGGAUUAUCAAAAAAUGCAAAGAUUGCUGGAAAAAAAAAAUUGAAAUAGAUAAAAAUUUCAUAGAUCGAAGAAGUCAAUAUCUAACUAAUCACAAUUGAUCCUAAGACAUUUCAUUCACAUUAAUGCAACACACGUAAAAAAAAAAUUCAACAAAUUCUUGUAACAAUGUAGAGUAAGUAAUAUAGUUAUGAUUAUUCAAAUUGUUGAAUUAUUUAUAACCAUUAUUAUUUGAGGUCCAAAAUUUUUUUCUUCUACAAAUCAGGGGCCCGAGGCGACCGUCUCUCGGUCCAUGAUGUUCAGUACGAUUUAUGCUUCUGAAUUUAUUUAUUUUGUCGCCCAAAAAAUCAUGAUUAAUGGAAGCACAAACAAAGAGAAUAAUAUGCAAUAAUAAUGGGACCUUUUAAUUUUUGGAGGGGGGGGGAAAGAAAAUCCAAAUUUAUUUACCUGUUCCUCUGUCAGUGCUCUUCACUGUUCUAUACAUUUGCAUGAAAGAAAAAAUAAAAUAAAAGAAAUGUAAAAUAAUAAACAAGAAUUCCACAUUGCAAAGAUUAUAACAUGUACUUUUUUGUAGAGAAGAAGAUGCCCUUUUGUCCUAACCCAUUUUGUACCCAAACUCCCACACUCAAAAACAAUAUAUACAUACAUAUAUAUGUAUGUAUAUAUGUAUAACCAUCAUUUCAGUUCCAUUGCAAUGUCGCAGUANNNNNNNNNNNNNNNNNNNNNNNNNNNNNNNNNNNNNNNNNNNNNNNNNNNNNNNNNNNNNNNNNNNNNNNNNNNNNNNNNNNNNNNNNNNNNNNNNNNNCUUCCAUCUCCCACCAUUCCUGCACACAAAAAAAAAUCACCCACAGGUCCCCGUGAUUUUUUUUUUUUGUUUUUCUUUGAGCAAUUGAACCAAAAAUAGAUACCAAAUGGAAUGGAGUUGAGCCUGAUAAUAUGAGAACAAAUGAGAGGAUUAGCCAUCGGCAAAGUAAUUCCGAUCCCUUCUUCCAUAUCCACACGACGAGUACAAACUCCGUCGGCUUUCCACUCGAAGCACUGAAUCAUUGCAGCUAAGGAAGCCACCGAUAUUCCAAAAAAAAAUUCAAAAUUAAAAACCCAAAAACCCAAUCCAUCCCUAAAACUCUCAAACACUAAUUUAAAAAAAUUCCAAAAUUCUUCGAAUGGGGCGAUUACGAGGGGUGGGUUCAUAAACGGGAUCCACAUUAAGAACAUGGGUUCCAGAAUCAUUAGCAAUGGAUGAAUCAAACGGGUUGUAUUUCAAAACGGAUUUUACGGCAAACGGGCGGUGGAAUUUUUUCCUGGGCCGCAGCAGCUUUGGCGGCGAAAAUGGAGGUCUUGCGGCGGGUUUUAGAGGAAAUGAACAUGGAUUAAAGCAUGGGUUGGUGGCGAUUGAAGCAGGACUGAUGAACUGCGUGUGUGUGUGUGUGAUGUGUGGGCGGAGAGAGAGAGGGGUGGUGGCAGGUGGCGAAGGGAAGAAGACACUAUUUUUCUUUUUUGGUUUUUUUUUUGUUUUGUUAUUUUUGUUUUGUUUUUUUUUUUUUUUUUUAUUUUUUUAAAGAUUAAUUUAUAUUUAAUAUACAACAUGUAAGUGAAUAGACGAAUUUACCCCUCAAAAUCUCACGUGCAAAGCACAUGUUUUGACAUUCCGGUCAAAAUUGCCGGAAAAUUGAGUUCAGGGGGCACCGUGCAACGAAUUAACGAGUUCAGGUAAAAACGUGCAAAAAAAUUUUGUUUGGGGGGUAAAGUGCAAAUCGGCCCAUAGUUUAGGGGGCAAACUGCUUUUUACUCUAUAUUAUAUAUAUAAUAUAUAUAUUGUGUAGGGAAAGGGUAAAAAGAGAAUAAGAAGAAGAAAUGUGUGUGUCAGAGAGGCGACACCCGCCCUCACAUGCACAUGCACUCUCUCUCUCUCUCUCUCUCUCACUAAUAAUAAAUGAUAGGGUAAAUUACAAACACCCCCUGAGGUAUGGUCAAAUUACAAAAACCCCCCUCUAAGUUUGGAUAAUUACAUCUAGCCCUCUCAACUAUGAUUUAUUCUUACCUUUAUGGUGCCAAAUUCAACAUAGUCCUCUAGAUUCCGUGAAAUGUGCUCUAGNNNNNNNNNNNNNNNNNNNNNNNNNNNNNNNNNNNNNNNNNNNNNNNNNNNNNNNNNNNNNNNNNNNNNNNNNNNNNNNNNNNNNNNNNNNNNNNNNNNNCUUUGUGUAAAAAAUACAGUUUUCGAAGCACCACAAACUGAUAUAUACAAGCUAAAAAUCACAUAUUAUGGUCAUCUUGCUUCAUAAUGUAGAGUUUGAAUUGAAUAAAACGGGUACAAAAGUGAUAAUAUUCCAUAUAAUCUCGAAGAUUCCACUAAAUUUUGAUGAGUUGAGGUGGUGGUUGUAAUUAUCCAAACAAGAGGGGUGUUUUUGUAAUUUGGUCAUACCUCAGGGGGGUGUUUGUAAUUUACCUUAAAUAAUAAUAAUAAAUUUUAUUUAUUUAUUUUGCCCUACUUUUAUUCUUACUAUUUUGCAAGUUGAUGAACAUAUCUCAAGGUACAAAUUUUUGUCUGUAAUUAUGUAUUUUUUUUUUUUUGUUUUUGAUGAUGGAAGAACAAAUAAUUGUUCUUUCCUAGAUAUAUAGAAUUUAUUUUGUGAUUUGUGGAGAAUUGUAAUUAAUAGUACUUGGAAAGACUAAAUAGCUUCAUUAUUGUAGAAAAUUCAAAAUAAUUUGUAUUAAGAGUAACAUAAUCAAGAUACGUUGAUCGAAUUUGGGAUUAAUUUAUCUGUGUGAAUACCUGAUUAGUAAAAAAGUUUGAACUCCGUUUUUUCUUUCAUUAGAUAAAAUCUAUUUCGAUCACAAUUUAUGUAUUUUGAUGUGGUUUAUUCCAUAUAAUUAAAAUAAAAGGAAUUGAUUCCAUCGUACAUUUAAUCUUUAGCAUGAUCAACAUUUUUAAGGUAUAUGAUCUCUUAUUGACUUAAUUGCUUUUCAGUAUUGAGUUAAUUAUCGACAAGCAAUAUCGUCUGACUUGAGCAUCGAAGUGUAAUCGUCUGUUAACACCCUCACGUGUAACAUAGUGUGUUAAGUGGUUUUUGCAGAAAAUUAAAGAAGAAUAUGCAUCGCACACUUACCCAAAACUCGUGGCAUUCGAACUCGUAUUCCUUUCAACUAUUCAUCUCAAGUGAUCCUGCAUCACGUUGUAUCCGUUCGUACGAGUUUUUUAUUUUUAUUUUUAUUUUUAUUUUACUUUGAACUUUAUAUAUGUAUUAUGUAUAUAUAAAGUGAUACCAACAAGCCUUGUCUAUUUUGUGUAUGUUUAAUUGGUUUAGGAUGAAAUAUUUUAAAAUAAAACAAUCGACAUCUAUGAUUAAAAAAAAAAAAAAAAACACUAAUCAAAGUGUUACGCAAGUGUGUGUGUGUGUGUGUGUGUGUGUGUGUGUGUGGAGUAGUUGCUUAUGCGUAAAUUAAUUUGAACAUAUUGCAUUUGUUUAUGCAAUAAUCUAUGCAAAAUAAUUAUGUUUUCUCUCAACACCAAUAUUCCCUCCCCGUGUCCAAAUAUGAAAUAUUCUUUGGCCUUGGCCUAAUCCACCCCCCGGCGCGUCGAGCCCCACCCCCAGCGCGUGGAAAACCGAACUUCAGAAAACCCCAACCACAUUCCUCGGCGUCAACAUGGCAACCCCUCACGUGACUUGUGGGCGUGACCCUGUCCACCUCAUCAUAUUAUUCUUUAUUGUUUUCUUCUCUUCUUCUUACCGUGAUCUUCAAUAUCUUUUUCCUCUAUUAAAAUAAAAUAAAAAUAAAAAAGAAUUGAAUAUUUUCUUUCUAUUCUUCCGAGUUUCAGUCUGCAGCUGGGUGUAUAUGAACCGCAUGAGCUGUACAUCACUCGUUUCGAUUUUUUUGAAAGGUUAUAAACAUGGGUCGUAAAUCGUAAAUCGAUUUAUCAAAAACUCAAAUCGUAAAUUUGUAAGAUUUUUGAUUCUUUCGAAGAUAAUAUGGUAAUAAGGAUAUAUAGAUGCUAUAAAGAAAUUAUAUAGUAUAAUAACAAAAUUCGAUAUUUUUUAGAAUUUAUGAAAUCAAAUUAUAGAAGUUGUGUCUUGAUCCUUUGGAAUUGAAAUUCAAUAGGUGUUUUAAGUUUUAACAAAAUUUUCAACACGAUAAAAUCAAAAGUUAUGACAUUUUUACAUCUAUUUCAGUUUUCAUAUUCUACUACAAAUUAAGAGUAGAAUCAAAAUAGUAUAUAUAUAUUGCAAUUUUCUUUUAAUACUUUGUUUUAAUAAUAUUUUAAGACGAGACACUAUUGAAAAGAACGUGUUAAUCAAAUUAACUAUUUAUAGUUAAAGUGCAAAUAUCUUUUUAAUUGAAUUUUAUCAUAAAAAAAUAUAGUAAACUUAAAUUUCUUUAAAUCGUAAAAGUUGCAAACCGUAAGAAUCGAACCGUAAAUCAUAUGAUUUAAUAGGUUUUUGGACAUUUGAUUAAUUAAUCAUAAACUCGAAUCGAAAGAUUUGAAUCGUAAAUUAUAAGAUUUUAAUAAUCAUGACUAUAAAAAUAUGAACGCAACGUCCUAGGGUUUCAAAAUUUAACAAAAUCAAAAUUACAAUAAUUGGAGUAGUAAUAAUGUAAUAAAAUCACCAAUGUAAUGUGGUGCAUCUAAUCUUAGCUAAUCCCAACUCAUAAUUAAUUAAAUUAAAUCAAAGUCGCAUUUCCCCAAAAAUCGCUAAUUGUUUAUACGAAUGGGAUCACAUAAACGAACAAGACGAGAAAUUCUGCUUAAUUGUUUUUUUAAAUCAUUAAUUAAUAUAUUUUAAUUAAUUAAUUAAAUAGUUUCCCGGUCAGCGCCUGAUGCGCUCUAGAUUCUCCGGGAAAUGAGUUAUUUCAACCUCAUCCCACUUGUUUAAAUAUUCCCUUAUUUUAAAGUUUAAAUAUUUAAUCACCCACCCGUUGGAUUAAUUAAUCCCAAUAAUCAAGAUUAACUUCUAACGUACACACACAAAAACACACACAUAUUACAUAUAUAUAUAUAUAGAUAUAUGUUUAUAUAUAUAUAUCCGGUCAACAUGUCUCACUCUACGGCUAGUUUUCGAAUGCUUAUAAGACACUAUAUUCCAUAUUCCUUGUGUUUGUCCUCUCCUCUCUAGUGUAUAUUAAUCUAUAUAUUGUCCCAACCUCUCUCUCUCUCUCUCUCUCUCUCUCAUGGGACGGGAUUAUUUAAUCCCAACCCUAAUAAUGUGCCGGGCCGGUGCGAAUCUAGCUAAGAACUUCAUAUGGACUGCAUAAAUUAAAUAAAAAACAAUACAAUUUACAUUUUUCCGAAAACCAAACAAGAAAAAAACUAAAUCCGAUUCCACUCCAAAACCAUCACCCUAAAAAAUGAGAGAUUAGUAUAUAUUUAGGGGAUUAUAUGUUACAUCUGGUUAUUUACACUGGGUGGAUUUCAACCGUAUAUCUGAUUAAAUAACUACCCAUUAAACACAUAUACACAUGAGUGUGUGUCAUUAUAUGUAAAUACACGAUUCAUAUCCAACCACUGUAAAUAACCAGGUGUAGCAUCUAAUUUCCCGUAUUUAUGGCUAGAAAUUAAGUCUAUAUCCAUGUUGAACGAUGUGGAAUAUAAUAAUGAGCNNNNNNNNNNNNNNNNNNNNNNNNNNNNNNNNNNNNNNNNNNNNNNNNNNNNNNNNNNNNNNNNNNNNNNNNNNNNNNNNNNNNNNNNNNNNNNNNNNNNNNNNNNNNNNNNNNNNNNNNNNNNNNNNNNNNNNNNNNNNNNNNNNNNNNNNNNNNNNNNNNNNNNNNNNNNNNNNNNNNNNNNNNNNNNNNNNNNNNNNNNNNNNNNNNNNNNNNNNNNNNNNNNNNNNNNNNNNNNNNNNNNNNNNNNNNNNNNNNNNNNNNNNNNNNNNNNNNNNNNNNNNNNNNNNNNNNNNNNNNNNNNNNNNNNNNNNNNNNNNNNNNNNNNNNNNNNNNNNNNNNNNNNNNNNNNNNNNNNNNNNNNNNNNNNNNNNNNNNNNNNNNNNNNNNNNNNNNNNNNNNNNNNNNNNNNNNNNNNNNNNNNNNNNNNNNNNNNNNNNNNNNNNNNNNNNNNNNNNNNNNNNNNNNNNNNNNNNNNNNNNNNNNNNNNNNNNNNNNNNNNNNNNNNNNNNNNNNNNNNNNNNNNNNNNNNNNNNNNNNNNNNNNNNNNNNNNNNNNNNNNNNNNNNNNNNNNNNNNNNNNNNNNNNNNNNNNNNNNNNNNNNNNNNNNNNNNNNNNNNNNNNNNNNNNNNNNNNNNNNNNNNNNNNNNNNNNNNNNNNNNNNNNNNNNNNNNNNNNNNNNNNNNNNNNNNNNNNNNNNNNNNNNNNNNNNNNNNNNNNNNNNNNNNNNNNNNNNNNNNNNNNNNNNNNNNNNNNNNNNNNNNNNNNNNNNNNNNNNNNNNNNNNNNNNNNNNNNNNNNNNNNNNNNNNNNNNCCGGGUCGUAAUAUAGUAAAAACACAAACAGGGUGUCGCGCGCUCUAUUGAUGUGCAUGAGUAUUAAUUUCUACCUAUAUAUCUGCAUGGAUGUAUAUAUAUAUAUAUAUAUAUAUAUAUAUAUAUAUAUAUAUAUAUAUAUAUAUAUAUAUAUAUAUAUAUAUAUAUAUAUAUAUAUAUUGCUUUAGGAAGUGGAAUAUGAUAUUCCAUUUUUCUAGAGAGACUACAGAAGAGAAGACAAAAGAGAAAUUAAGGAAGGAAUCAGCGGAAUGAUCGCCGUUUCGACUCACGUGAGAUACCACGUGUAUAUAUAUCUUACCUCAUUUUUUAUUAUUUAUUUAUUUAUUUUAUUUUAUUUUAUUUUAGCUGUUUAGGCAAAAUAAAAUAAUGUUUCCUAGUCUUUUAUUUUUCCCAUGCAAAAUUUCUUACCCCAAACAUACUACAGCGGUAUUUUAGGUAAUACACUGCUGCUUGCCUGCUUCUGUAGAUAUUCAUUGAUUUUUAUCUACAGGGGCAAAUGUGUUGAAGCUGGAUUUUAGUUAGGGUGGAAAUCGGAAUGAAAUUUUAAAAAUUUCGUCGUAAAAAGAGUUUCAAAUUUUUGAGGAUAUUAUAAUUUUUUAUUUCGAUUUUCGAUUUAAUUUCUUCAAUAUUUUAAUUAAGUUAGAUAUUGUAUAUUGAUUGGAAAUAAGGCUUAAUUGAAAAAAAAAAAUUAGACAUCUCACAUCAUAAACAGUGAAAUCACUAUAGAAAUGGAAGAAAAUCUCAUUAAUAACAGCUGUACAAAUUAAAUAUAUCACAUAUUAAUUGUUGUUGUCGUUUGUUUUUAUUUUUAAAUAACAAAAGAAAUAACAAAUUAUAUAUAUAGGUCUAUCGAGUAAAUUCCCAAGCUCGUGCAGUAGCUUGUAAACUAUACGAAAAAUUUAAUCCCGUAAAACAAUAUCUCAUAUCAUAUAUAUUUGAUUGAAUGGCCAAACAGAGGGUUCCUAUAUAAAAAUUAACUGGCGUUCACAAAUAUAUAUGUAAAAUUUAUAUACUUUACUAAAAUAAAAAAAAAUAAAAAAAAUUGAAUUCAAGAAUAAUAUACAUCAUACAUCACCACAUUCAAUUCACAUUAUUAAUUUAUGUGAAUUAGUUUCUAGCGACAAUCAGUAGCAAAUAGAAAAACGCGAUAUAUAUCGAAAAAAAGAUUAAAAAAAAUAAAAAAUAAAAAUCAAUGUAGUUUGUCCCAUAUUGAAAAUGUGUAUAAAUUAUUAUUACAGCUUCAACGUUGAAUGAAUUAGAUGAAAGAAUUUACGAAUCGCAGAAUGUACAGAGUCCUACAUGCAUAUGCUUUGGCAGAGCAUUUCUUACCUUACUGAUUGCACUGAAUGUAUAUAUAUAUAUAUAUAUAUAUAUAUAUAUAUAUAUAUAUAUAUGGCCACCCCCGACUUAUGGUCAAAUUAUGAAAACCUCCCUCCUGUUUUGGUGAUUACAGUCACCCCUCACUAUGUAUUAUCUUAUGAAAAUACCCCUCAAAAGGUAAAUUUAGGGAUGUUAAAUCGGUAAAACCGGACAGAAAUUUCGGUACGAUAACAUUCAAUACCGUUUUACGAACUGAAUAUACGAUUUGGUUAGGUAAAUAACCGAAUUACAUAAAUUUAUGUAAAACUUUAAAAAAAGGGGAUGGCUGUAAUUAUUAAAACAAAAAGUUUUUUUUCUUCAUAAUUUGGCCAUAACUCAUGAAUGACAAUAAUUUAUCCACAUGUAUAUAUAAUAUUAUAUAUAUGGAGUAGGAUAGUAUAGUAAUUUUUGCUGACACAAAAUAUUAAAACAAUGUUUAAGUAAUUAAUUUCCAGUAAUGGCUAUGCACGACAGGCGAAAUAGUAAAGUGUUGUUGGACCAAAAUGCCCCUAUCAACCACCUCUGAGGUAUGAUCAAAUUAUGAAAAACCCCCUCUUAUUUGAAUAAUUAUAUCUUCUCCUGAACUAUGAUUUUUUCUCACACCUCUAGUUGGAUGAGCGUCUUUUUGGUCGGGAGCCCUCGGUNNNNNNNNNNNNNNNNNNNNNNNNNNNNNNNNNNNNNNNNNNNNNNNNNNNNNNNNNNNNNNNNNNNNNNNNNNNNNNNNNNNNNNNNNNNNNNNNNNNNNNNNNNNNNNNNNNNNNNNNNNNNNNNNNNNNNNNNNNNNNNNNNNNNNNNNNNNNNNNNNNNNNNNNNNNNNNNNNNNNNNNNNNNNNNNNNNNNNNNNNNNNNNNNNNNNNNNNNNNNNNNNNNNNNNNNNNNNNNNNNNNNNNNNNNNNNNNNNNNNNNNNNNNNNNNNNNNNNNNNNNNNNNNNNNNNNNNNNNNNNNNNNNNNNNNNNNNNNNNNNNNNNNNNNNNNNNNNNNNNNNNNNNNNNNNNNNNNNNNNNNNNNNNNNNNNNNNNNNNNNNNNNNNNNNNNNNNNNNNNNNNNNNNNNNNNNNNNNNNNNNNNNNNNNNNNNNNNNNNNNNNNNNNNNNNNNNNNNNNNNNNNNNNNNNNNNNNNNNNNNNNNNNNNNNNNNNNNNNNNNNNNNNNNNNNNNNNNNNNNNNNNNNNNNNNNNNNNNNNNNNNNNNNNNNNNNNNNNNNNNNNNNNNNNNNNNNNAGAAGGGUUCCAUUUUCGUAACUAGCUGGCACCUGUAUCAUCUUGCUACAAAAUGUGAAAAUCGAAUGAGAUAAAACGGUGUACAAAAGUGAUAAUAUUCCAUAUAAUCUAGAAGAUUCCAAUAAAUUUAAAACCGCAAGAGUGGACGUGUAAGAAGAUUUUCGUAAUUUGACUAUAGCUCAGGGUGGUUGUAAUUUACCCUAGUUUCUUACAUAUAUAUAUAUUACAAUAAAUGAGUUUAUAUUACAUACAGUAUCUGCAAAAUUUCUAUCAGAUUACAACUUUUGACCACAGAAAUAAAAUUAGUGACGGUCCCUUUUCAUCAAACGACCUAAAUUUACUGUACAUGCAUAUCAUAAUAAAGGUGACAAGAUAUUGUAAAUACUAAUGAAAAUUAUCAUAAGUCAAUCUCAGAUUUUUGAAAUUACGUAUACUCUUAGUCUAUAUAUACACACGUGCUUGAGAAUGACUCUAUCCUCGUACAAACAACAUAACUAAGUAAUAUAAUUCAAGAAAAUGGCUUCCCAAAAGAUGAUUUUCUUGGCCCUCUUUUUGCUUAUUGGCCUUGGUUAGUGUCUCUCUUCUAUAUAAUAAUUAAUCAUCAAUUCUUGGAGUUAAAUUUUUUUUUUGAUUUUUUUUAAAAUUUUAUCUUUAUUAAAUAAUUAUGGCUAAAAUAAUUUAUCGAAUUAAAAAAUCGUACAACUCACGAGCUUCUUGAAAUGAAACCGACUACGCACGUUAGCAAUUUCGUUUUCAAUCGAGUUCGACAAAUAAUAUUUCUAUCUAUUUAUUAAAACCACGGUCAAAAUAAUAAUCGCGCCCCCGAUUUGUUUUAGGAGCUAUUUAUAUUUAUAAUAAUCCCCCCCUUUUUUUUUUGAAAUGGUUGACAGUGUCGGCUCAAAUUGAUGUGUACAAAUGCACGGUGGACGACGACUGCAAUAAGUAUCCAAUGAUUUGCUGGUUCGACGGCAAAACUGCGUCGGCCAAAUUUGGAUCGCCAGUUUGUUUUGAGGGAUUGUGUCACUGUAGAUCUUCGACGGUCUGCUUUAUGAACGAAAAUUGCGCCUACUUGAAAUGCGAUGAAGGUCAUUCGCCGUUUUGUUAUGAGCUAUCUUGUGUUUGCAAGACGGACACCCCGGCUCCUGCCCCGGCCGCCAACAUACACUAAAGGCGACGACAUUAUCGAAAACAAAUAAAAUAAUAAUAAUAAUGAAAUUAGUGCUAUUUUGUUUUUUUUUUAUACUAAUUAAUCGAGUUUGAAUAUAUAUCGAUGGUUCAUUAAUUUGAGUUUCCGGGGAUAUUUUAUGUUCUUGCUCCAAGUGCAUUGUGAAAUAUUGUUGAGUAGUCACUCGAAUCAAGAAUGGUUUAGUUCGAGUAUUGUGCAUCUAUAGUCGACAAGCCAAACUCCGGUUAGUAAGCCUGAGUCAUCUGCAUUAAGAGCGACGUCCUAGCCAAUUUAUUGUAAAAAACAAAUGUGAUUAAUUAUUAGACCUUGCAAAGUAAAAAGAAAAUAAUUAAUAGUCGACAAAUACGGCCCGAUCUUCGGUAUCCGAUUAGGUGUGCAUCGGGCCCUGAUAGUGAGCAGCGCGCUGGGAAAUAGCGAAAGAGUGCUUCACCGUACCACAAACAAUGUACCUAGUCCUCUGCAACAAGCCCGAAGCUGCGGCCAUGCAGAAAUAAUUAAAAAGAAUAAGAUCCCGAAAAUGAAAAUAAUAAUAUAAUAAUACUAAUAACGACUCGAUAAUGUGGUGAUCCUGCGUAGAAAAUUAUGAAAUAAAAUCCCGGACGUCAUCUAUAUAUGCUACAAGUUUGUUGUCCAUAUUUAUUCAUAAGCCGAGCCAAAAUCACUUAGGAGCUGAAAAAAGAGUGUUAUACGAUACAUUUAAGGUACUCUCUUGAUUUUGGUAUUUUUAUUAUAAAGAGGUGUUGAAGCAAACUUCCUUGGAUUUUGCGAUUGUGAUUGGGCAGGAUUUGUUGAUGAUACGAGAAGCACAUCGGGCUAUGCAUUUUCUCUUGGUUUUUUGGUAUAUUUUUGUGUGCGUCGAAGAAGCAACAAAUGGUGGCACAAUCGUUGGCCGAAGACAAAUACAUUUCGGCAUCAUUGGCAAAUGGUAACCGAUCAAGUAAUGUGUAUAAGGAGGAUUCCGGAAGAUAUUUGUUUGAAGUAAGACGAAGCUACUAGUCUCUUAUGCGAUGACAAAAAUAUGCUAUUGCGAUGAUGAAGAACCCCGUCUAUCAUAGUCGCACAAAUCACAUUGUAAUCAAGCAUCACUUUCAAGUUAAGUAUUAUUAGACCACGUAAUAUUAUCUCAUAAAAUGAUUUUUUUUUUUCUAUUGUCACCGUAGUUAUGUUAAUUGUUGUAUGCUAUAAUUUUACAAAAUGAAUUUAUUUAGGCAUGUAAUUUAAACCGUAAAUCUACAUAAAUAACUAUCCAUUAAACACACAUAUACAUGAGUGUGUAGGUGUCCAACUGCAUACACUUGAUUUAAGAAAAAAAUAUUUAUAUAUGUAUAUAAUAUAAUAUAAGAUUACAUGUACCAGGUUUGACACUUUCUUAAUUAUGUUUUUUUCUUAAAUAUACUUUUAUAUAUAUAUAUAUAUAUAUAUAUAUAUAUAUAUAUAUAUAUAUAUAUAUAUAUAUAUAUAUAUAUAUAUAUAUAUAUAUAUAUAUAUAUAUAUAUUUUCCUAACAUUUUCACCAAUUUUCUUUCUAAAUAUUUCCUAUAUUAUCCUAAAAUUUGCAAAUGAUUUUUUUAAAUUUGAAAGUUUUACAUAAUUUUAUUGUCUGAUGUAUAUACAAAUAAAAAAAAAAAAAAAAACUGCGGCACUGCCCCUGAACUCUCGUAAACUUUUAGUCCACCAAUUUUAUCAUGUAUUAUUUAUAUUUUUUUUUAUUAAACUCAAAUUUGAACACCCUUGACAAAAUCAUGGAUUCACCGUUGAGUAUGUGUAGAUUAAUAAGGUAAGACUACAUAAUGUAUUUCAUCAGGUGUAGGUUCUACAAAACCGACAAGUAGGUGCCAAAUGUCGAAAUAAAAUUAAUAAAAAUUUCAAAAUGAGAAACAAAUAAUAAUAAUCUAUUCAUAUAAUAUAUUGUCCGAUCUUUAAAGAAGGAAACAGGAAAAAAACUUCCCAUUUUUUCAUUUAAAUUAAUUCUCCAACAAUAUAUAGUUGGUGUAAUGAUUUGUAUACAAUUUGGAACAAUAUUAUGAGAACUAAAUUUAAUGUAUGUAUUUUAUAAUUGUAUAUUUGGAAGUUGGAACAAUAUUAUGAUAAUUAAAUUUAUUACUUUAUAUAUUUUAUAAUAAAAGUGACGUGAUCUUGUAAAUAUAAAAUAUGCUUUUAUGUAAAUCUCUGAAUUGAAAUUACAAUAUUACAAGACUCUAUCAACUAUAUAUACUUGCCUUACGACAACUCAAUACUCACUACAAACAACAUAAUUACCUGUCCUUGCAAUUACAAGCAAUAAUAAUUCAAGAAAAUGGCUUCCCAAAAGAUGAUUUUCUUGGUCACCUUCAUGCUUAUUGGCCUUGGUUAGUCUCUCUUUUUUUCUAUAUAAUUAAUUAAUUAUCAGGGAAAAUUGCACCUCGCCCCCUAUUAAUUUCUAAUUUUCGCACUUCACCCCCUAAAAAUUUGGAAUUGUGAAUGUCCCCCAUUAAAAUGUUAUUCUUGUUGCACAUUGUCUCGAUAGUAAAAUUUCGAUGGAUUAUUCACCGGAAUUGAGUUGUUGCACGUUACCCCUUUAAAUAUUAUUUUUGUUGUAUCUUAUCCCUUAAAAACAUCAUUUUUUUUUCAUGUUGGCACUUUAAAAUAUUAUUUUUGUUGCACAAUACGCAGCAUCAAUUGACUUUUGGGGUGCAAUCAAAAUAAUAUUUUAACGGGGUUGUCCAUUUUUUUUCAGGGAAAAAUGUGAAAAUGAAAAUUUAAUAGAGGAUGAACUGCAUUUUGUCCUAAUUAUUAAUUAUAACAAACACCUCUAUCUAUUUAUUAAUUAUAGUGAACUGUGAUUGGUCAAUUUGUUUUUCUCUUUUUUUUUUAGUAUAAGAAAAUUCAAAGAGGAAUUUUUACCUUUGUUGAGAUUCAAUAAAAUGAAAUUACUAUCAUUUUGUAAGAAAUUAACGUUUUGAAGAAAUUUGAAAAGGUGCUUUAUAUAAUGAUAAAUCUUGCUUUUUUGUUUUCUUUUUUUAAUUUAUCUAUUGAAUCUAAAAGUUUGAUUAAUAUUUGACAGCGGCGGCGGGUGAAAGCAAAUGCAGGGUCAACGACGACUGCAAAAAUGAACCUAUAUUUUGCCCCAACGCGGCCAAAAUUGGAUUAGAUGAGGGGCCAAUCUGUUACGAAGGAAGUUGCAUCUGCAAAUCUUUGAUUCCACAGUGCGACACCGAUGAAUUCUGCAAACGUGUGAACUUGAUUUGCACUAACGGCGAACCAAUCUGUGAUGACGGAGUUUGUGUUUGCAACCCAGCUGCUCCUGCUGCUGCUCCUGCUCCGAUCAACACACACUAAACAUGUAAACAUUAUAAUGUAAACAUUUAUUAAUGGCUAUAUAAAUAAUAAUAAUAAUAAUAAUAAUAAUAAUAAUAAUAAUAAUAAUAAUAAUAAUAAUAAUAAUAAUAAUAAUAAUAAUAAUAAUAAUAAUAAUAAUAAUAAUAAUAGCGAUAUUCGCUUUUGAGUUUUAAUUAGUUCGAUGCGUUUUUUUUUUCUACAACUGUUUGGCUAAGCUUUUAAACUAUUAAAAACAACUUAGUAUAUGUUUAAGAGUUUAUAAGUUCUUCUGAAAUGUUUGAUAAUUUAAAAAAAAAAAAAACAGUAAAAGUUAAAAAAAUAAACGGUUAGAGAACAAAUAAGAAUUUUUGUAAAGUACCUCCCUCCACCCAACAUUUUUAUAAUGAGUUAAAAAGAGCUUGUAAGUUGUGAUCAUCAUCCUAAAACACUUUAAAAAUUAAUUCUAAUAAUAAGACGUACAGUUUAUCAGCUCUUAAAACAACAUAUCUGACGUAAAAAAUUAUCAGCCAUUUAAAAUAAGCUCAGUCAAACUAAUUAAUCGAGUUUGAAUAUAUCGAUCGAUCAUUAAUUUCAGUUUUUUUUAAAAUAACCAAGACGAACACGUCAACUAGCUGACUCAUUGAUUACCCAUUUCAGAAUUAUGUUGUGCCAUAAAUAUAAUACAUUUUUAUUUUAUUUAUUGCAAUAUGUAUAUAUAGUUGCAUUACAAUACAAACAUGCAUGCUAGUUAUAGCAGCCUUAUUAAUUAAUCAGACACUAAUUAUUUAUUAUUAUCCCGAUUGAACUAAUUUAAAAACUAAUCGGGUACUUAGGCUGCCGGUUCGGGAAAAAUAACCCGAAAUUCUUCUCAAACUCGGGGCUCUUCUGAUUCUCAUCAAACAAACCGAAAAUGUACGUCUCGAUCGCCCGGCCGGGCCGUUUGGGCGUCCCGUCCCUCACGCGCCGCACCAAGUUCGUGUUGUACGUCCUCGCAAAGUCAACGGUGGUCGUGUCCCCACCCGCCGACGGCCAGCCGGUCUCCGACACCACGAUCUCCAGUGUCUCGGCGCCGCUCUUCUCCAGCGCCGCGUACAUGGCGUCCACGAUGGCGUAGAAGAGGUUCUGGUACCGUAUGCCGCCGGGGACCACGAUCCCGUCGGAAUUGAAAAGCGCGUACUGGAGGUCGAUCUGCGCUUUGUUCCCGAUGUAGGAGAAGUACGGGUACACGUUGACCAGCAGCGGCGCGCCGGUGCUGACCAGAAAGUCGGUGAUCGGCCGGAGAUAUGAGUUCACGUCGGAUCUGAAAGCACCGUCCGCCGGUGGGAAGGAGGUGCCCAGAACUCCGGUCUCGAUGGAGGUGGAGACCCGGAUCUGGUUUCCGAGGCCGGCGGAGCUGACGGCGGCGCGAAUAUUCCGGAGGGCCGGGAGGACGAAAUUCACGUACCGGGAAGUGUCGCCUCUCAGGGGGCUGACUUCGUUUCCGACGGCGAUGUACCGGAAUCUGACGUUGGGGUGGUUCCUGACGUUGUUUUGGAUCCACGUGUUGGCGUUUGAUUGGCUGGCGGCGAUGGACUGGAGAUCGGGGUUUGGUACGCCGAGGGUGAGUUCGAUGUUCGAUCCGGCGAGUGCUCGGAGAGUCGCCUGAUCGGGAUCGUAGAUUCUCAUUCGCCGGAUGUUGUUUUGGUUGCAUAGAGCCACUACUUCUGCCGGCGAUGGCAAAUUGUCGCCCAGCCUACCGUAGCAAACUCCCGUCUGAGCAUCUGCGUCGCAAUUAAUUAUUAUUAAUGAACGAAUAUUAGGGGUGGAAAUUGGAACAGAUAUUCUGAAUUCCUGAUUCCGGUUCGAAAAUUUGAAUUUUGGAACUAUAUUUUCCAUUCUGAAUUCCGGUUUUUUGAUUUUUUUUGGAACGUAAAUUGGAAUACAUACUGCAUUCCUUUCGAUAUUCGAUUUAAGUUUCUGAAAAUAUUUUCCGAAUAGUACACUUGUAAUAUCAAUAUUAGUCUAUGUCUUGAAUUGCACAUAGACUUAGAUUUUGAAAAUUCGUAAAUUCAACCGCAUCGUUCCAAAAAUUUCCUAUUUUCUUUUAAGAAACGGAAUUGGAAUUAGUUUUCCACUUCAGUAAAAAAAAAGUGACUUGUUUUUCGAAAUUGUUAAUUAGUCCAAUUUACGCACCUAAAUAAAAUGAAAUAAAUAAAAUAGAGUUUGGUGCAUAUUUGAUAUUUCUCUUUACAAUACAUAAAGUUUAGCCUAAUUGGUAUUAUUAUGCAAGUAAAAAAAAAAAAAAAAAAAAAAAGAUUUUAUUGCUGUUUACCAAAGUUAUUUGUUUAGUGUACCCAAUCACAUUCUAGAAGACGAAAUUGUAGUAAUUUAACACACAAGAUAUCAAGAUAUUGCAUAUUAUAUUAGUACAGAGUAAUUUAAUAUAUAUAUAUAUAUAUCUGUAAUUAAUUAGUGGAAAUAAAAAACAUAAUGCAAACCUGUGAAAUCCAGGGUGAUUACUAAUAUUACGAGCAGCGCCCACAGAAGGCGAAGCGUCGAGAUCGAGGAGAAGAACCGGUUUACGGUGCAAGACAUUGAGAAUUACGGAAAAUAGUAUGAUAAUUAUUUAAAUUGUGAGAUGAAUAAUUUGUGUACCAAAACCUCCCAUUUUAUAGAGGUUUUGUAGAGUGCAAAAUGUGUUGUAUAUUUUUUGUAAUUUAAUAAAAUGAUUAAUGGCUGCUAAUAUUUUCCUGCCAAACUAGCUAAGCUACUCUCUCUGUGGAAAAUAAGAACACAAACAAAUAAAUUGUAAGAACCCCACCCAAUUAAUAUUCCUACUAGAUAUAUAUCUAUAUAUGUUUUUAAUUUGGACGUAUACAUUGCUACAAAUUGAAAAGUCAUUGGUAAAAUUCUUGUUCCCUAAUGAAAGAUUUUUGCUAGUUGCAAGUAUUUCUUGAAAUAUUUUACGACACGUUGUAUAGAUAUUUGUUAUCUUUCGAGUAUUGUUGUAUAGUCGACCUCUUCUAAAAUUCUUAGUUUAUAUUAGGGUGGGCUAACGUUUUCGGAGGUUCAGAGGCAGCGCGCAUAACUUUUUUUUUUUUUUUUUUUAUAGAAGUUAUUAGCAAAAUAUAUCAUAAAAUAAGUAAAUUUUAUGCUCAAAAUGUAAUUAUUUGUAAAAAAAGACUAUGGGUAGGGGUGCAAGUUGGAAUGGAAUUUCCAAUUUCCGCCGAUUCCGAUCCGAAAAGUUCCGAUUUUGGAACAACUUUUUUCAUUCCAACUUCCGAAAUUCCGAUUUCCGAAUUUUUCCGAUUUUUUUGGAUUGGAAUUGGAAUUAUAUAAAAUAAAUUUGGAAUUUCCAAUUUCCGAUCCGAUUUCAUUCCGAAAUUAAUUCCGAAAAAUUCCGAUUUUUUUCCGAAAAAUACACCUAUAAAUUUUGUAUUAGGAUUUUGACAUAAUGAAUUGUUAUUAGAAGUUUUAUUGGAUAUUAUGAUGUGUUUAUUUUUAUUUAUUUUUUUGAACUGAAAUUUAGUAGUUAUUAGUUUUACUUUUAUCGACGUGGAUGUUCUUAUUUUUGAAAAAUUAUGACAAUUUUAGAAAAUUUCGGCUAAGUUUUGAAAUUUUAAAGCUUAUGUGAUUUUCGAUUUUUUUCCGAAAUUCCGAAAUUUCCGGGCCUUUUGGAAUCGGAAUGAAUUUUUAAAUUCCGAAAAUAUUGGUAUUGGAAUUAGAAUUGAUUUUGUACUUCCAGAUUUUUUGGAAAUUUUUCGAAAAGGCUUAUUCCGAUCCGAUCCGUCCGACUUUCACCCCUAACUUUGGGUCAACUAAAAAUGAAUUGCGCUAAGGGGGCUAAGAAAGGAUAACAAAUCCGACUCGGCUAGUAGUUGCGAGAUUAAUCUAGUUUUUGUCUAUAUGACUUUAAUUAAUUAUAGAUUACUCCCUGAAGUAUGACAGAUACCUUCUAAUCUAUGCUGCACGAACACGGAUACGUGGAGACGGUGAUACGCGGAUACGGACACGGUGAUACGGCAUUUCCAAAAAACUAGGAUACGGACACGUGGUGGAUACGGGUAAAUAUAAAACAUAUAGGGGUAUAUUUAUAAAUAAUAAAAAUAUAGGGGUACAUUUAUAAAUUGGAAAAAAUAUGUAUAAGUCCUCAUCGCAUAAGAGAACCGUUCGCCCUUGUUGCUCGUGUUCUUGGUCGCCGUUGCAUGCUAGACUUUUGGAAUUUUGGGUGGACUCACAAAGAAAACAGAAGAAAUAUGUAUUACAUCGAAAAAAAUGCGUAUUUUUUUUAUUAGGGCUCUCUCUUAAAACGUAAGAGAAGUGUUCUAACUUUUUUAAAAUUGUGGACACUGCCCGACACGGGUGUCCUACUGUUAGCGAGAUUACGAUACGGCCCGACACAGGUGUCCGAGAAGUGUCCAGGUGUGUCCGAGUGUCCAUGUAUCGAAUACGGUGACUCUUCACCUUCUAGAAGUGUCCGUGCAGCAUAACUUCUAAUGUAUCAUUUGUAAUAGAUACCCCCUCUAUCCACCAACUGUGAUGUUACCGGUUGAAAAUGCUGACAUGGCGGUGCGUAACUGCUGAAUAAUAUAGCCGUUGGGACUGUGGACGAAAAUACCCCUUGAUUAAUUAAUCAUAUUAUCUAUAUAUAUGUACUAGUGAAAAUAAACAUUUCUUAAAUAUCAAUGUCACAGAAAUUGUGUAUAAGACUGUAUACGAUAUGCCUAAUAUAUGUUGUGAAGUACAAAUAGAAGUGACAUUUUUUUUGCGAAUAAAUAGUAUUUGUGAUGAUUUAGACUUGAAAUAGUCGAUUAUGUAAUACGUGGGGCCCGGUUUCAUGAUAAGUUUCUUGGUGUCGUUUAUCGGAUGUAGCAUAUAUAUAUAUAUUUACUUCAUAAAUCGAUCAAGUUUAUAUACGUAUAUAAAUGUGUAUACAGUGAAAUAUUAUGUGCUAACCCUAAUUGAUGUCAAUUUGUAAGUGUGGAGAUAAGUAAUCAUGUAAUGCCAGAGGAGGACGACGACUAGCAAUGCGAUCGUCGGCCAAGACUAUGGAAAAAUAGCACAGGCCGGCAUGGAAGAAGACUUUGUUAAAGACUUGAUUUUCUAAGUCUUCCCUAAAAUUGAUUGCGAGUCUUGUGACGAUAACGAAACAACGUGGCGGAGCCAUAUAUAAUUUAUUUUUUUGGGACCAUAUAUACAUUAAAGUAUAUUCGUUUACUAAUAGUGAAUUUUUAUGGUUAAAUACAAUUUGCACCCUCAUACUGUAUUGAUUAUUGCAUUUACCUUCCUAUAUCUCUGAAAAAUGCAAAACAAACACCUUGUUUUUAAUUAAAAUAUCAAACAAAUUGUAGAAUUGAAAGAAUUAAAUAAUUAUUUUACCCUUUUUAAGAUGUUGAGAUACCAUUUUACCCUUUUAAGUUGUGUAGUUACCAUUUUAUCCUUACUUUAUUCGUUAUUAACUGCCGUAGUCUUGCUCCAUCAACAAGAAAGCAGGCAAUCACUACAAGAAGAAAUGGCAUUAGUGACAUCCCACGAUCCCAAUUGUGCCAACACAAAAAAAAAAAAAUCUCACUAAAUGGCAUUAAGUGACAACAUUUUUUUGUUGUUGAACUAAUAGUUUUUUUUAUUGUCACUUAAUUAUCCUAUUUCGUUGUCACUAUACAUUAGUGACAAAUAUAGUGACAAUAUUAUUUUACCUAAUCAUAUGAAAAUUGGUGUUGUACGUUAAUGAAUUGAUUUUUUUUAUUUCUUUUAGUGAAUGGAAUUAUCAUAAUUUGAGAGGCUAUGUCAAAUGGUAAUGUCAAAAUAUGUGUUUUAACUUUUAAUUCAAUAUAAAGGGGCCUAUGAUUCAUCUUUAAUAUGAUAAAAAAAAUAAGGGUAAAUUACAACAGCAGUCCCUAAGGUAAGGUUUAUUUACGGAAAAACGCCUCAUUUUUCCAUAAUUACAUCCACCCCUCAUCAUUUGUAGCCAAUUCCAACUUUGGAUCAUUAGUUCAAUCCGAUUUAAUAAAUGUUAAUUUUAUCUAAAACAAACAAAUGAGUAGAAUAUAAGAGAACCAUAUAUAUAUGUAUAUAACAGCCAUAUUUAUUAUUCAUGUCCUUAUUUCAAUGGAGAUAGAUAUACAUACAACCGUUACUAUAUUGUAAUAAAACCAAUUAAAAUUUAAUCGGGUACUUAAGCUCUUUGUUCGGGUGAAAAAUCCCCCAAUUCUUCUCAUACUCGGGGCUCUUCUGAUUCUCAUCGAACAUCGCGAAAAUAUACGUCUCGAUCGCCUUCCCGGGCCUUUUCGGCGUCCCGCUCUGCACGCGCUGCAGCAAAUUCGUAUUGUAAACCCUAGCAUUAUCAACGCUCGUCGAGUCGCCGCCCGCUGAGGGCCAGCCGGUCUCGGAAACCACCACCUCCACGGACGAGCCACCGCUCUUCUCCAGUGCGGCGUACAUCGCGUCCACCAUAGCGUAGAAGAGAUUCUGAUACGUCACGCCACCGGGCAUUGGCACGCCGCUCGACGACGUGAAGAGCGCGUAGCUUAUGUCGAUCUGCGCCUUGUUCCCGACGUAGGCGAAGUAAGGGUACACGUUGGCGAGCAGCGGGGCGCCCGUCUUGGCCAGGAACCCGACGACGGGGUUUAUGUAGGACGCCACGUCGGAUCGGAAGGCGCCCGCGUCGGGCGGGUACGAGGUCCCGAGCAGCCCCAUGUCGACGGCGGUGGAAACCCUAAUUCCGAGCCCGGCCGAGGAAAUCGAGUUGUGUAUGUUCUGCAUGGCGGGGAGUACGUACUGCACGUACUGGGACGACUCGCCUCUCAGCGGGCUGAUUUCGUUUCCGACGGCAAUGUACUUGAAUUUGACGCCCGGGUAGCUUUUGAUGUUGGUUUGGACCCACGUGUCGGCGUUCGAUUGGCUGGCGGCGAUGCUCGGGAGAUCCUCGUUUGCGACGCCGACGGUGAGCUCGAUGUUGGAUCCGCCUAGGGCUUGGAGAGCCGCUGGAUCAGGGUUGUAGAUUCUCAUCCGUUGGAUGUUGUUCUGUUUGAAUAGACCGACCACGUCGGAUUCUGGCGGUAGGUCGUUUCCCAGCCUUCCGUAGCAAACUCCAGUUUGAGCAGCUGCAUUUAUAAUCAAUAAUUAUUAAAUAAAAAAGCUAAUAAUAGUUAAAAAAAAUUAAUAAAAAUAAGGGCAAAUUACGGACAGUUAGUUAUGGUCAAAUUAUGAAAAAUUCCAUUUUGUUUUGGUAAUUACAGCCACCUCCUCAACUAUGUAUUAUCUUACGAAAAAACCCCUCUAGAGGUAAAUUUAGGGAUGUUAAAUUGGUAAAAGCGAACCGAAAUUUCAGUAAUUCAACAUUUCAUAUCAUUUACCAAGUUGAAUAUACGAUUUGCUUCGGUAAAUAACCGAAUUACAAAAAUUUUAUGUAAAAAUAUUUAAAAGGAGGGGUGGUUGUAAUUACCCAAACAAGAGGGGUUUUUCAUAAUUUGGGCAUUCCUCAGGGGGUUAAUCGUAAUUUUCCCUAAACAUAAUAAUAGUUGAGGAGAAAAACAGGCAAGAAAUUAAAAAGAAAAACGGAAAACAAAAUGUGUCUUGAUUUUAUAUAUAUAUACACAUGGGAAUUUAGAGUUUAUUGCAUUUAGUACCCCUAUGUUAUAACGAACUGCUAUAAAACCCUCUUAUAGACGGAGAUUUUAGGAAAUAAAAUAAAAUAAUAUGAGAAUUUUUUUUAACAAUUAAAAAAUACAGGAGUGCUGAAUGCAAUAAAUCCGGGAAUUUUAAGACAUAAUUAACGACAAUAAUACAGUCUGAAUUAAAAGAGUUGAAGAAUAAUUAAUUAAUAUAUAUUUCUCUGCAAUAUAUGGGAGAAAAAUUAAAUAAAAUAUAUAUAAACCUGUGAAAUCCAGGGUGGCAAUUAAGAGCAAAGCCAGAAUAGCAAUUGAAGAACUGAACUGGCUUAAGGUGCCAGCCAUGGUGAAAUUAAUUAAGAAAAAUAAUAUAAAUUAGAGUUGUGUACUUGUUUUCCAAAUAAACUUCUUAUUUUAUAGAGGUUUUGGAGAUUACAUAUUACAUAUAAUUUAUAAAAAAAAAUGUGAUUUAAUUUAUUAAUUAUCAUACUGUCCAAAUUAGUUUGUGUGGAGAUUAUUAUUUAUUACAAUUAGGUAGCUAAAGCAUAAUUACUUUUUUUUCUAAUGAAAGAUUAAUGCAAUAUUUGUGUAUUAUGACAAUAUGCAAUAACCCUAUUGAGAAAAUCUGAAUGGUAGUAAAGCAAAUUAGUAAGCUUAAUUGCAUCACUGUGACAUGUACAGUUGUUUAGUUACUAUAAUAAAACAUAACAAUAAUAUAAUUUAAAUAAAAACUAAAAAGAAUUGUUUCAUGGGAUUAUUUGACUAAUUUUAAUAAAUCACAAGAAUUUACUUUUUGGAUUUGAUUUUUCUUUUUUCCAAUGAAUGAUUAUGAAAAUUGAAAACCUCAAUCUCUAAACACAUCUUAUUUUAACAAAAAAAUACAUUAUCAAUAUUAUAUGUAAAUAUAUUUUUUAAAUGAUUUAAUUAUCAAUAUAUUAUAAAGUGGAAGUUAUAUUGUAGUUUUGGUCCUCUAUGUUGGCCUAUUUAGGGAUUUAGUGCCCAAACUUGUCAUGUUACAAUUUGCAUACAAUAACUUUGCGAACAUACUAUUUUUGGCCCUAUAAUUUUGCAUCAAUUUAAUUUUUUUAUUUUAUGAUGCAGGAACAACAAGCUUAACAUAUUUCACUUAUAUGGACGCUAAAAAUUAUACAUUCGACCUCUAACUUAGCCUUUAUAUAACUUUGAUUAUGCAAGAGGGCGUAUUUAUAAACCAAGUUAGAUGAAUUUUGUAAUUUUAAACGUCCGUAUAAAUAAAUUUCGGCGAGUUCGUAAUUAAACAACACUAAAAUUCAAUUUUUAGUGGAAUGGGACCAAAAAUGCUAAUUUAGCCAGUUAUUGUAUGUAAUUUGGCCUAGUUAAAGGACUAAAUCUCUAAGGAAGGCCAACAUGUUGGACUAAAAUUACAAUUUCCCCAAAUAAAAAUAUGUAUGACGUAUUGAAAGGUUUUUUAAAUUUUAGGCAUGUCUCUAAUACUCGUAUAUCAAUAUACGAAGUUCAACCGAAAAGACGGAUAUAAACAAAAAACUAUAGGUCGUGAUAGACUAAAGCGUUUUUCUACAUGCGUAUAAUGUUUUGACGACGGUAAUUAAACGAUCCAGGUGAUGUAUUGUCAGCUGCGUUGUUAAACUUUAAUUUGAAUUUCGAAAAUUCCAAUGUCCGAAUUUUUAGACUUUUUGGAUCGAAACAAGAAUUUUUAUUUUUAUUUUCCAAUUUUCGAUCCGAUUUAGUUUCUCAAAAUUGAAAAUUCUGAUUUUGUUUUCGUAAAUUACCUUUAUAAUAUAAUAUUAUUAUAAAUUCUAAAUUAUAGAUGAAUAAAAAAUAGGGUUGAAUACAAAAACCCCUGUACUAUGGACUUUGUAUCAUUUACCCCCUUGUACUACACAUAAAUACAAAAACCCCCCUCACAUUGCAUUUUUCCAGAAUAUGACGAAAAUACCCCUAAUAUAUAUAUAUAUAUAUAUAUAUAUAUAUAUAUAUAUAUAUAUAUAUAUAUAUAUAUAUAUAUAUAUCUAUAUAUAUAUAUAUAUAUAUAUAUAUAUAUAUACUAUAUAUAUAUAUGUAGAUAUAUAUAUAUAUAUAUUUAUAUAUAAAUAUAUAUAUAUAUAUGUAUAGAUAUAUAUUUGUGUAUAUACUCUACUCUGCAAGAGAGGUAUGUACAUGAGAUAGAUCUAUGGAAAAAUAUACGAAGUAUAGGUGCGGAUCGGUAGAGAUAGAACGUGCGAGCGUCGGACGACUNNNNNNNNNNNNNNNNNNNNNNNNNNNNNNNNNNNNNNNNNNNNNNNNNNNNNNNNNNNNNNNNNNNNNNNNNNNNNNNNNNNNNNNNNNNNNNNNNNNNUAUAUAUUUUUACCAUUUUCAGUCAAUUUUACGUUGAAAAUUUUGGUAUUUAUACUUUUUUCUCCAAAACAUCUAAUUGCUUACAUUUUUUAUUUUCUAAAUAAAAUCUUUUAUUUUUGUCAUUUUGAGUUUCUUCAUUUUUUUUUCUUAUAUGUCUUCCGGUAGUUCAAACAUUCUAAGAUUACAAACAUCUUUACAAUCCUAUCAUGGUUGAGAAUUUGAACUACCGAAAGACAUUUAAGAAAAAAAUUAAGAAAUUCAAAAUGACAAAAAUAAAAAGUUUUUCUUCAGAAAAAAAAAAUAAAAAAAAUCUAAGUAAUUAAAUGUUUUGAAGGAAAAUAAAAAAAAUAAAAAUUUCCCAAGUAAAGUUGACCGAAAAUGUUAAAAAAUAUAGUGGAAAAUGGCUCAAACAAACCCUUAUAUUUAUAGGUUUAGCAGGGGUAUUUUCGUCAUAUUUUGGAAAAAAUAUAAUAACAGGGUUUUUUUUGUAUUUAUGUGUAGUACAUGGGGUAAAUGAUACAAAGUCCAUAGUACAUGGGUGUUUUUGUAUUUAACCCUAAAGAAUAGAACGUCCGAAUUGCACCUAUUAAAAAUUGAUCAGAAUAAUUCUAAUUUUAUAACAAGUUUUUUCCAUUCUAAUUACAUUUAGUUUUUAUGUUGUUGUAAUUAGGAACUUCUAGCUAAUUAUUACCCCUAUAAUAAAAUUUUAAAUUGACUAAGGAAAUUCAAAUUAAACCAUUAUAUAGAGAUAUGAAAUCUCUUGAAAACGCAAGUGAAGAUUUUAUAAUAUUCGUGCUAAAUAGGUCACAUGUUAUAAAUUAUAAUACCUUUAAAUGAGUACCCCUGUCACAAUUCCGUGUUUAACAUGUGACAUAUUCUCUAUAAAAAUCUGAAGAUAUUAUUGUAAAAAAAUUAACUUGAAUUUUUAUUUUUAAUAUUUAAUUAAACCUUUUCUUACUAAAGAAAAAAUUCAAAUACUUUGUAAUAACUUGCAAAUCACAUGAAAUAUGUAAACCAUAGUAUUAAUUAGUAGGAAUCACAAAACAUCAGUGACGAUCUUGACCUAAAAACUGUUGACCAAAAAAUUCAAACACGGGUUAUUGUUAUAAUAUUUGGUGCACAAAAUAAUAAAAGAUUUAAGAAAUACUAAUCUUGAAAACAAGAAAGAUUUCAAAACUCAAUGAAUAGAAUUUAUAUACAUUAUUGGAAGAUUACACAAUAUAAUAUCUAAUUAAUACCAAAGAUUACAAUAAUCAAUGACAUUUCACAUUUCACAAAUGGCUAUAAAUAUCUCAAAACAACCAUUUCUUUUUUCACAAGAAAAAAAAUAAAAUAAAAAACAAUGGCGGCAAGUUUCACUCCUUAUCCCCCUUGUUCGACUUUUCUAUGCAGCGAUCGCGAAUGUUGCGGUACUAAACAAAAGUACGAUACUGUAUGGUCGAAUCUAGUUGGUAUGGUUGCAGAAGAAGCUAAGGCAAUUAUUACGAAAGAUAACCCUCUUGUUACUGUUGUUCUUGUGCAUAUAGACGAGGCUACAAUCGACAAUUUUUGUUGCAACCGUGUUUGGCUUUUUGUCGAUGAAAACAAUCGUGUUCGUAAGGUGCCUAUGGUUGGGUAGAAGAACACCAACUAAAAAUAAGAUCUAUAAAUAAAUAAACAAGGCCUGAAAUUUUUUGCUGUUUUUAUAUAUACAAAAACUUUGUCUACAGUGCGUUUUUUGCUGUUAUUUUUCUUUGCUUUUGUGUAAACUGUCUAAUUUGUUUAUAAUCACGCUAGCUAGUAGUUAUUGGGUACAAUUAAUCCUAAAAUUUUAGAUAAGAUCUUUGUUAGUAUAUCGAAAUAAUACAUGGGUCUUUUUGUAAUUUGAUAAAAAAAAAAUCUCAAAUGCAGUCGUAAGUCAACAUAUGACCGUUAGUUAUUGAUGAUUAAAUAGACGGAGGGACUUAUUGUGUUAAAAUGUGGCAACAUGAUAGCGUACUUUGCUCAUGUGGCAAGUGAGGUUCAAAAGUGAAAAACGUGCAAACUUGGAGGACCAAAAGUAUAAUUAUCCCGAUAAAAAAACCCGUCAAAUUUGCAAAUACUAGGCGAAGUUUUUUGAAAUAUGACAACUUGGAGGACAUAAUCUUUAGAUAACCAUGCUAAUAUUGCAAAUAAGAAAAAAUAGAAACAAACUAAAACUAAAAAAACAUCUAUGGUAGAAAUUUUUGUAAUCAAAGCUUGAUGGAUUUUAAAAAUAAUUCAACUUCAUUUCCAUCUACCCUGAAAUUAGGCUAAUAAUGAAAGAUACCCCUACCUAUCCGUAAUAACCAAAAUUCCACUCUAAUGAAAUGUUGAUCGAGUUUUUUUAAAUCCGUGAAAAGUCACAUUGUAAGGGGUUGAUGUAAGACCAAAACAAAACUCAGGAGUUGUGGUAACUACGAAUAGGUGGGGGCAUUUUUUGUUAUUAACAAAAAAUGGAGGAAUUAAAGGGAUUAGAGAUUUUUAUUUUGAAAAUACAAAAAUAACCCUCCAAGUUGCUUGUGCAACCCACAUGGGUCUAAUUCCGGCUGAUCCGAGCUAUUUGGCCUAGGUCCGAGAGGACCACCAACUAUCCAUCUUUUUCUCUCCAGUCGAAGCCCACCAACCACAUGUUUUAGGACCCGACAAAAUGGGCGCUCUCUCUCUAGGUCAGGAGCCUCUCUCUCGAUAAAAAAGGGGAGAAGACAGAGGCAAGAGGAAAAAGAAGAGAGAAGAGCAGAGGGAGAUAGGGAAAAAAAACACCAAACACACACCAAGAGACAAUUCAAAUCUACGGUGGCCAACGAACCCAUCACCGGCCAAUUUCGUCUGAAAAUUCCAAAAAAAAAAAGGUUAAGUGGCACAACUUAUUGAGUUCAGGUUGAUUCGGAGGUUUUUGUUUUGUUUUUUUUUUGUUGAGAUGGUAAUCCACAAAAACGGGUAAAGUUUAGGUGGUUUAAUGCUAUUUACCAGGACAAAGGAUAAUUACACUUUUGGUCCCUCAUGUUUGGGCCGAUUCCACUUUUAGUCCCCCUUGUUUCAAAGUGAACAAAGUUCACCUCCAUGUUUCUAUUUUAUACACUUUUCAAUAGACAUGGCCACGGGGCGGGUCGGGUCCGGGUCCGAGUCCGACUUUUAGGGGACCCGAAACCGCCCGCGGGGAGCCGGGUCCGGGUCCGGGUCCGGGGCAGGUCCAUCCGGGUCCGGGUCCAACCCGGUUUUUCAAUUUUUUUUUUUUAACAAAAAAAACUUAUAUUGAAACUUGAAAAAACAUGAGAUUAACUUUAAAUUCAAAAAAAAUAAAAAAAUAAUUGAAUUUAAACAUUAAACAAUUUUAGGAAAAAAUGAAACGAUUAAGACCUUGAGACAUAAACUAAAUAAAAUGAAAGUCCAGAAAAUUGGAUUAUGGGUAUUUAUAAGUGAAAAUAAUAAUUGAGAAAUCUUUCAAAUUUUCAAAAUUCAAAAAAAAUAAAUAUUCAAUCUUUCUUUUAAAUUAAAUCGUAUUUUUUUAUAUUUUUCAAAAUUAAAUAUAUAUGCAUUUGUUAUUAGUUGGGAUAUUUGAUAUUAAUAAUAGUCAACAUGAUAAUUAAUAAUUUAUAAAACAUUAGUUAUACAAUUAUUAUAAUCAUUUGAUAGUGUUAUUUAUAUUUUUAUGUUUAUAAUUAGGAUUAUUAUAAUAAGGAAAAUAUAUAACAUAAACAAAAGGUGUAAAAUGAUCAUAAUAAAUAAUGUUAAAUAGAUUAUUAAUUAUCAUAUUUAUUAUUAUUAAAUAAUUUAAUUAAAUUAUUAACAAAUAUAAUAUAAUAAAAAAAGUAAAAAAAAGGAAUGGAUUUGAGCUUAAUCCAUUUAAAUCUUACGAUUCGAUUCUAAUAUUUGAAUAAAAUGUAUAUGUAAAAAAAAAGAUUAAAUCAUAUGAUCUACGAUUUAAUUCUUACGAUUUUUACAAACUAAACCAAUUAUUAAAAGAGAAAUCAGAUCAUAAUAUUUUGAUUAUACUCGUCAUAUAUAGUUUUAUUUUUAAAGUAAGAAAUUAAUUAGAAUGAGAUAUAAUCUAUUUUUUUUAAAAUAAUAUUUUGAUUAUACUCGUCAUAAAAUAAUCUAUAUUUUUAAAUAAUUUAAUUAUGAUAAAAUAAUCAAUAAUUUUAAUAAGUUCUUGUCAACAAUUGAGGUUAAUCGAUUUAAAUUAAUUGAAAUGAGUUACAAUUAUUUUUUUAAAUAAACAUCUUAUUUUAUUUUUCAUUCGAAUUUUUCACACUAUCGAUUUUAAUAACAUAAGUGAGUUUGUAUUAAAUCAACGCGCUUGUUUAUAUAUUGAAUUGAUUCAAUAUUUUAUAUUUUUCAAUAGUGGAGAUUAUAUUGAUAUAAUAAUUAAAAGUAGAUGUUUUGAAGUAUUGACUCGUGAUUCUAUAUAUAUUUUUUUAAUUUUUAUAUUACAUUUGUUAAUAAUUUAAUUAAAAUUAUUUAAUAACAAUUAAUAAUUUAUUUAACAUAUUUAUCAUUUUACACCGGUGUUUUAUAUUAUAUAUAUGUAUUGUCUACAUUUAUACAAAAAUGUUGAUUGGCCCAGUGAUAAGAAUUGCUUAUUCUUCCCCAUCUUCACGAGUUUCGAACCCCCUAAUGUUCAUUUUUUGUACAAAAAAAACCGGGUUAACACCCGGGUCCCGGGUCGGGUCCUCGGGCCGGGUCCCACGGGUAGACCCGUCGGGUGAUAUUUGGGACCCGUGCUUGGUCGGGUCUAGGUCCAUGGUCAACGGGGCGGUCUUCGGGUCAGUUCCAGGACGGGUCCGGGUCAAACCCGGCCCGUGGCCGUGUCUACUUUUCGUCCACUCCGUCACACGGGCGUUAGAAACUAACAGAAAACAUUAUUUCAGGGGUAAUAAUGAAAUUUAAUAUUGUUUUGGGGCUACAAAACAAUUAUAAAUUUAAAGUACUAUUUGUAAUUAAUUUUUUUUUUUAUAUUAAGUAUAAAAAAAGAUGAAUAAUAUUUACUUUUGACAAACAAAAUGCAAAUAUAUAUAUAUAUAUAUAUAUAUAUAUAUAUAUAUAUAUAUAUAUAUAUAUAUAUAUAUAUAUAUAUAUAUAGUGUUUUCUGUUAGUUUCUAACGUCCAUGUGACAGAGUAGACGAAAAGUGUAUAAAAUGGAAACAUGGUGAUGAACUUUAUUCACUUUGGAACAAGGGGAUCGAAAGUGGAAUCCGCCCAAACAUGAGGGACCAGAAAUGUAAUUAUCCCCUAUUUACCCUAGAUUUAAUCAAGUCUUAAUUAGGUAAUUUGAUUAGAUGUGAAUUAAUGAUCUUAAAAACCAAUUUUACAUCUAUUUCAUUGAUUUUUGUAAUCUUUCUUUCUUUUAAGAAUAGUAUUUCAUUUAUCGUAUAUUAUUUUGUGAACCAACAGAUUAACAACUUUUGCAAUAAAUAAUUCAGCUAAAUGUAUCUAAGCACUAUGUAAUAGUUUCAAUUUUAGAUGGCUGAAACCCAAAAUUAUAAAAAUAAAUAAAAACCCGUAGUUUUACCCAGAAAUAUUAGAAAGAUUUAGCCAUAUAGAGUUACGUUCCAGCUGUGUAAUUUGGAGCUAUGUUGUUCGAAUGUAGAGAUGAUGUGCAGCUGCAACAGCCAUUGAAGUUUCAUUCAAUUACUUUGAGUGUUCUAUAGCAAAUUCUGGUAAAUUGUUUCUUCCUAUUUUGUGAACUCUUAAAAAAAAAAAAACAAAAACAAAAACAAAACAAAAGAAUCAAAGCAUUGCACAUAUUAGUAAUAUUUAUAAUUAAAAUACUUAUUGAUGCUUUUGUUUCUAACUUGUUCUUGUCUACGUGCAUUCUGAUAUUUUCUGGGAUUUCCUAUUUAUUUUAUUUUGCUUAGUUUUCUAUGUAAACAAAGUUAUUUGUGAUAAUUAGGACCGAGCACAUAAUUCUCUUUAUUUCAUAAAUUCCCAGGCAUACAGUAUCAUGAAAUAAAAUGAAGCUGCUAAAUUGUUACAUGAUCACUAUGGGACUUCUAACCACAAUUUUCCCCUUAGACUCGACCCAACUCAGUGAACCAAAUGUCUUAUUCAUCAUUUUACCUUCAAUCGUCAGAGUAAAGUUCUUCUUCUCAAAUUUCCUUUUGAACUCGAUUGUGUCCGGCGACACCCUGACACUCAAACCCUCAUAAAACUCUGAAAUCCUUGCCGUGUAAACCGAGCUCCCCUGGCCGACAUAAGUCACGGUCCUCCUAAAUUCUCUCACCGAAUUUGUUCCAUUUGCAUCAGAGAAGGUAAUGAAGGAGGGAUAAUUCAGAUCCAGCGACGGGUUUGUGCAACUAGAAAUCACCGACCUAGUAAUGGUCUGAAUUUGAUUCUUGGUGAAGUUCAUAGCGCAAAGAAAAUUCACAUAAUCUUCGGAGCUAGUGUCAUAUACAAGGCCUGGGUUUAGGGCCUUGUUGGGAUCUAUAUGACCUGCUCCGAUGCCGAGAGGAGAGGCAGGUUGACUUCUUUGUGAUCCGAGGUCUUGAAUUGAAUUGUUCAUGUUGUCGAGAACAUAGGAUGUUGUCAUCAUUGCUGAGCGAACGGCUGCAGGGCUCCAACGGGGAUGUGCCCCUUUAAGAAGGGCCGCUACUCCUGCCGCAUGUGGACAGGACAUCGAAGUGCCCGAUAUGAUAUUGAAAUUUCCGAAGAAAAUUUUUGAGGUCCCAAAAAAUAUGGGAGAGACGGGAGACCAGGAGGCCAAAAUAGAGUCACCUGGAGCAAGGAUAUCUGGCUUCAAGAUGUAUGGAGAGACCCUCGACGGGCCUCUGGAGCUGUACUUUGCCAAUUGUGGCGACGGCUUUGCAUUGAAGCGUGUUUCGUGGAACUUGAAGCUCGCCUGUUUAGCCUCGGGGGAGCCGUUGGUGAUGUAAUCGACGAGUUUCUUUCCUUGUUUGAGUUCCAAAAAUAGGGUGGGAGUUGUAGUGCGGAUGAAGAACUCGAUCGUGUCCGUAUCGUUCGAUACGAAGACAGCUCCAACGACGCUUGAAUUUUGGACGCGGACGACUUGCAGGCCUAACGUAUUAGUUAUGUCAAGGCACACAACAAUCUUCCCCCUUGCUUUCUCCAAGGAGCCCUCGUUUUGACAUGCAACAACGUAGACGAUUGAGAAGUACUUUUCGGCGGGAAACUUUCCGGGGUAGAGGGAUUGUCCCGUGACAGAAUAGCCAUCGCUGAGGUGUAGGGUCCCUUCAAAUUUUCUGUCUAGUGUACCGGCAGCUACAUUCAGAACCCACGGAUAUCCGUUGUGGAGGGUCCCGUCGUUUGGCCCCGCAUUGCCUGCUGAUGUAGAGACAAAGAUUCCCUUCUCCAUGGCUGCGAAGGCCCCCACAGCAAUAGGAUCCUCGUCCAGGGCUAAACUAUCGAAGCCUAACGACAUGGACAAGACGUCAACACCAUCGUCAAUAGCUUGAUCCACCGCCGCAAGAACAUCCGACACAACGCCGUCUCCGCCCGACACUACUUUGUACAUCGCGAUUCGGGCCUUUGGAGCUACGCCUCUGGCAGUCCCGGCGGCAUAACCGUAGAAGGCUGCAUCCUCCACAUAAUUACCCGCAGCGGUGCUCGACGUGUGCGUCCCAUGCCCCUCCGUGUCGCGGGGUGAACUCAUACUCAUUUCCGGUUUCUUGGCCAACAUGCCCUUGCCGAAGGACCUUGCUCCAAUCAAUUUUCGAUUGCACAAUGAGGAGUUGAAAUCCGAGCAACUCUCGCAGACUCCUCUCCACCUUGAAGGAAUCUCGCCAAUGCCGUCGUCUUUGAAACUUUUGCUUUCUGGCCAGAUACCGGUAUCCACUAGACCAAUGAUGACGUUGUCGCCAUAAUUGGAAGCUGGCCAAGCCCCGUGGUCGUGGUUGAGGCCGAGAAACCGGUAGGAAUGGGUGGUAUCAAGUUUAACGGGCUUAUCUUUCGUUGAAGAAAGAUAACCUGGUAGUGUCUUGACGGCCUCGAGCUCAGCUGACGAGAGAAUAGCGCUGAACCCGUUGAUGGCAUUUGAGUAGGUGUAAAGAAGCCUGGAGGAGGAAGGUGGUGAUGACGAAUCUGCUACGGUGGCAAGCGAGCUAGUAUACCAUGAAUGAUGACUGGUGAAUGGUUUGGGCAUUAGCGAAACGUCCAUAUGGACGAUGUACGUUUCGUAUGCUUUCGAUAUCGACUGUUGGGAUGCAACGGAAAGGAAGAAAAAGCAGAGGAAUACAUAGUUUGAACAAGUUCCCAUAUUGCAAUUGUUUUUGGCUGCUCUGCUGUUUUUCGUGAAUUGAUUCAUUGUUUUAUAGAGGGAAGGGGUCCCCAAAUUCAUUGUUAAAUUCUUUCCUUGUAUUAAUUUUUAAAUAUAAAUCUUUAUUAUGUUUUUAUUUUUUCGAAAAUUUAUUAGCUAAUAAAUUUUGUGCAGCGGUAUUAGGGGCAUUCAACAAUCAUAAAAACAGGGUUAAGGGGUUUAAAUUUAGACAAGCCUUAUCUUAAAAGGGUGUUUGUAAUUGUAUACACAUAAUUCAAUAGUGGUAACUGGUAAGUGUAUUUGACCUAACCCUUUAAUUUAAAAUUUAAUGAAUAAACUUUUUUUUUUUUUGAUUUACAUGAUCUAAAAUUGUAAAGGUAAAAAAGAAAAAAAAUGAUUUCUUGUAUGUCAUGGGCAGUUUGAGAAUUACAUUCAAAAGCUUCCAUUCAACAUAUGUACAAACCCUAGAUUUUAAAAUUAAAAUAAUUGAUUUUUAUAUUAAUUUAACUUUAAGAUACCUGCAAAAAAAAAAAAAAAAAAAACCCGAACAUAUUUUGUUAUUUAUUCAGUUUAUUUAUAAAAUGAUUGUUUCUAAGAUCUAAUGACUAUCUUUUUUUUAAACAUAGUCAUUGUUAAACUUCUAUUAGUUCUAUAUUGUAUUAUCUUUUUUUUUAUUAACUAAUUAAUUUACUUAUAAACUUUAUGAUCAUGUAACUAAUGAUGUCUCAUACCAUUAUAACAUUAGACACGUAUAGUUCAAUUGUGGUACGAGUGUUUAUUAGUCCUUUAAUUG
RNAcentral lists this long non-coding RNA (47804 nucleotides) under Erythranthe guttata (spotted monkey flower). Its description in RNAcentral is "long non-coding RNA (EGUT_LNC000146)". Lineage: Eukaryota; Viridiplantae; Streptophyta; Magnoliopsida; Lamiales; Phrymaceae. The record is from RNAcentral.